RNAcentral lists this long non-coding RNA (72861 nucleotides) under Triticum aestivum (bread wheat). RNAcentral's name for it is "long non-coding RNA (TAES_LNC006462)". The record is from RNAcentral. Lineage: Eukaryota; Viridiplantae; Streptophyta; Magnoliopsida; Poales; Poaceae.
UGGCCAACGGUUUAACCGGGGUUGAUCUUGCUCGCUGUUGGAUAUCAUGGAGCAUAUUGCCCCUUAGUCAGCGCUCCGGUUUGAUGUGCGAGUAUACUGAUAGUGUUGAUGACCCACUGCGACAUUCAAAACUCCAACUCUCCGGUGAAGAGAUCACAGAGGCUAUGCGCAAGAUACUGAAUGAACCGGAACACGUCUGCGCUAGAACCGGCCUGCUUCCCUUCUGUGCCACCAACAAACCGCCAGCUGUAAGACUUUAAUUUUUCUCUUUGCUGAAUCUGUUAUUGAUAUGUCUGGUCAUUGUUUGUAAUAUCAGUGUCUGCAUAAUCAGGGCGAUGAUCCGUUUUGGAGCAAAAAGCUGCCGUAGGAGAAACCAGAGAAACCAGACAAACCGGAUAGAGCAACUCGGCAAAAGACUAAGGUUGUGAAGAAGACUGCCCACAGGAAAAGAACCACUGCAUCUUCUAAUCCAGCCCCUGAUGAUGAGGUGGAUAAUCCGGACUUUGAGGUAGAGCUUGACUCACUUGGUUUAUUUUUCGUGCGUCUUAUUGAUGAUGAUAUUUGUUAGGAUGAUGCCGAAGCCAGCCAUGCGGAUGUUGCAGAGGUAAUUAUUCUCUCUUCCGAUUCAGAAACUUUGCCUUCACAAAAAAUCCGUCAGACAAACCGGAAAGUUAAAUUUUCUCAUCCUCUUGCUUAUUUGGAUCCUAAACUUCUUAUGAAGACUCAACAACACGAAGCUCCCCACACCACCCGGCACAGCGGCCAGGUAGUUACCUCCGCCGUUUUACCGAACAGUCCGGUUCGGAAACGUCAUUCCGAGGUCUCUAAUUCGCUUGUCAGUGCUUGUCCUAAAGCGGGCUGCUUUCGUCAACCUCUUAAUCCGUCUGACUCCGAUUACCAGGUUAUUUCCCACUCAUCUUCUGGCGAGUCAUCGGCUACUCAGCUCCCACCGCUCAAAACGGUGCUUGGGUAAGCUAUAUUUAUUGCGAUGUUUGCAGUACAUUGCCUUAGAACAUAUGUUGUAUUUAACUUUGUUAUUCUUCUCAGGGCCAAACCUAGGCCAAGCAAGAAGGCCCGCCUGGAUAAAGCGGCCGAAGAAGAUGUCAUUCUUGAACCAGGCACAACACCCAAUCUUGAAGCGGCUAUUCCUGAGGAUAUUCCCAACGAUCCACCGCAGCUAGAUGAUGAUCUUACUGCUGAAGAGAGACCUACUGAUAUCUCAGGUCCUAUCCAUCAGCCCACAGGUUCCCUCCGGAUUGGAAGCUCCACCGGUCCAGCAAAACCUACUAACAAGCCAACAGCUCCAGUGCAAACCGGCAGUACCAAGGAUGAUGAAGUUGUCAUUACUGGCACUGGCCAUACUGAGCCAAGCAAUCCUGUCGCUUUAUCCAAACAUUCUGCCAAGGAAGAAUUUGCUGCUUUUGGCAAAGGUAAGUGGAAUGCUGAUCUGACGGCUUACGCUGCUCCGAACGCCCAAGAUAUCCAUUCCGGCUAUCUGAACCGGCUGUAUACCAGCCGUGACUAUGAAGCCGGUCUGGUUAACAUGAUGAAAGAUAAAUAUGAGGUAACUUCCAUAUGCUCCUUCCUGCUUGUAUGCUUUCAUUCUUGCUGACUCUCCUAGCCCCUAAGGGCCGGUUUAAAAUAUUCUUUCAAACCGGGACUUAAUAAUAUCGAUCAGAUAGUAUGACCCGUUGUGCAGAUUUUUGCUGACCACGAAAGGCCCCUCCCAAGGUGGGGAUAGCUUAUGCAUAUCAGUCUGAUCUUGGAUGAGGCGAAGCACCAAAUCUCCUUCCUGAAAGGCUCUGGUUUUGACCCGGCGACUGUGAUAACGACGAAGAUCCUGCUAGUAAAUCGCCGAUCGGGCGGCUGCGAUGUCACGCUCUUCAUCCAACCGGUCCAAAGCAUCUUGCCGUGCUGUCUCGUUGUCCGCUUCAACAUAAGCCGUGACACGAGGUGAAUCAUGACGGAUAUCACUGGGGAGAACCGCCUCCGCUCCAUAAACCAUGAAGAACGGUGUGUAUCCUGUUGUUCUGUUGGGUCUUGUAUUGAUGCUCCAUAACACAGAUGGUAAUUCUUCUACCCAACAACCCGACGUUCUCUGCAAAGGAACCAUGAGCCGGGGCUUGAUGCCUCUCAAGAUCUCUUGAUUAGCUCUUUCUGCUUGACCGUUGGACUGUGGAUGUGCCACUGAUGAAACGUCGAGCCGGAUGUGCUCCCGUUCACAGAACUCCUUCAUAGCACCUUUGGACAAAUUGGUACCAUUAUCUGUGAUAAUACUGUGCGGAAAGCCAAACCGGAAAAUCUCCUUUUUGAUGAACUGAACCGCCGUGGCCGCAUCACACUUGCUAACAGGUUCUGCCUCCACCCACUUUGUAAACUUGUCAACCGCCACCAGGAGGUGGGUCUUCUUAUCUUUGGACCUUUUGAAAGGCCCAACCAUAUCCAGCCCCCAAGUCGCAAACGGCCAAGUAAUUGGAAUCAUUCUCAAUUCUUGAGCCAAUACAUGAGCACGUCUUGAAAACCUUUGGCAACCAUCACAUCGUCUGACCAGAUCCUCCACAUCAGCAUGAGCAGUUAACCAAUAGAAGCCAUGGCGAAACGCUUUAGCCACCAGAGACUUUGAACCGGCGUGGUGACCACAGUCUCCUUCGUGGAUCUCACGCAAAAUUUCACGGCCUUCUUCAGGAGACACGCAACGUUGAAAAGCUCCUGAUAUACUGCAAUGAUGCAACUCGCCGUUGAUGAUAGCCAUGGACUUGGAUCGCCGGAUUAUCUGCCGGGCCAGAAUCUCAUCCUCUGGCAACUCGCCCCGGUUCUUGUACGCCAGGUAAGGAAGCGUCCAAUCCGGAAUAACAUGAAGAACCGCCACCAAUUGAGCCUCCGGAUCAGGAAUAGCCAAAUCCUCUUCACCAGGGAUCUUGACCAACGGGUUGUGCGGCACAUCCAGAAAAACAUUGGGUGGGACCGGUUUGCGCUGAGAGCCCAGCCGGCUUAAAGCGUCUGCCGCUUCAUUUUUCCGCCGGUCCACAUGGUCCACCUGAUAGCCUUUGAAAUAACCUGCGAUAGUAUCCACCUCACGACGAUAUACUGCCAUGAGUGGGUCCUUGGAGUCCCAAGUGCCAGACACUUGCUGAGCCACGAGGUCCGAGUCACCGAAGCACUUAACUCGACUUAGAUUCAUCUCCUUAGCCAUCCGGAGACCAUGGAGCAAGGCUUCAUACUCAGCUGCAUUGUUAGUACAAGGGAACAUUAAACGGAGAACAUAACAAAACUUAUCACCUCGUGGGGAAGUUAAUACGACUCCAGCCCCCGAGCCUUCCAACUGCCUGGAUCCGUCAAAAUGGAUGGUCCAAUACAUAUGAUCCGGCUUUUCUUCAGGUGCUUGCAUUUCCGUCCAAUCAUUGAUGAAAUCAACAAGUGCUUGAGACUUAACCGUUGUCCGAGGCACAUACUUCAAACCGUACGGCCCCAGCCCUAUGGCCCACUUUGCAAUCCGGCCAGUUGCUUCCCGGUUCUGGAUGAUAUCUCCCAAAGGAGCAAAACUGACCACCGUAAUUAAGUGCCCUUGGAAAUAUUGUUUAAGCUUCCGGCUUGCCAUAAAAACUCCAUACACCAGCUUCUGCCAAUGCGGAUACCUUUGCUUGGACUCAAUGAGCACCUCGCUGAUAUAAUAGACCGGGCGUUGAACCGGAUGCUCCUUACCUGCCUCCUUUCGCUCCACCACAAUAGCUACGCUGACCGCCCGAACAUUAGCAGCAACAUAUAGCAGUAACGGCUCCUUGUCAACGGGAGCGGCGAGCACAGGCGGAUUGGCCAAUUGCCGCUUUAAGUCCUCAAAUGCUUCAUCAGCAGCAGAACUCCAGACAAACUGAUCCCUCUUUUUCAACAUCUGAUACAAAGGGAUUGCCUUCUCACCCAGGCGACUGAUAAACCGACUUAGCGCAGCAAUCCGGCCUGCCAGGCGUUGAACAUCGUUGAUACACUUCGGUUUAGCCAGGGAGGUGAUAGCCGUGAUCUUCUCCGGAUUAGCCUCAAUUCCCCUGUUGGACACUAGAAAACCCAAUAGCUUGCCCGCCGGUACACCAAAGACACACUUGUCCGGAUUAAGCAUCAUCUUGUAUGUUCUCAGGUUAUCAAAGGUUUCCUUCAAAUCAUCAAUCAGAGUCUCCUUCUCCCUGGAUUUAACCAUGAUAUCAUCCACGUAAGACAAUUUUGUACACACCGUUGGUAAGUUGCCUGGGCACUCUUGAGCCCGAAGGGCAUAGACACAUAGCAGAAGGCUCCAAAGGGAGUUAUAAAUGUUGUCUUCUCCUGGUCCUUAACUGCCAUUUUGAUCUGAUGAUAGCCAGAAUACGCAUCCAAAAAACUUAAACGCUCACACCCCGCCGUAGCAUCAAUAAUUUGAUCAAUACGGGGGAGGGCAAAAGGAUCUGCUGGACAAGCUUUAUUAAGAUCUGUGUAAUCCACACACAUGCGCCAGGUGCCGUUUUUCUUGAGGACCAGCACCGGAUUGGCAACCCACUCGGGGUGAAAAACUUCAACAAUAAAGCCAGCUGAUAAGAGCCUGGCUACCUCUUCUCCAAUCGCCUUGCGUCUUUCUUCAUUAAACCAGCGGAGGAACUGUUUCACCGGUUUAUAUUUAGGAUCCACAUUAAGUGUGUGCUCAGCGAGUUGCCUCGGUACACCUGGCAUGUCAGAGGGCUUCCAUGCAAAAAUGUCCCGAUUCUCACGGAUGAACUUGAUGAGCGCGCUUUCCUAUUUCGGAUCCAAGUUGGCACUGAUGCUGAACUGCUUGGAUGAAUCGCCAGGUACGAAGUCAACAAGCUUAGUUUCUGCUGUCGAUUUGAACUUCAGGGCCGGAUCAUGCUCCAUAGUUGGCUUCUUCAACGGAGUCAUGUCCGCCGGAUCAACAUUAUCUUUAUAGUACUUCAACUCCUCGGUGGCACAAACCGACUCUGCAUAAGCCGCAUCUCCUUCCUCGCAUUCCAAAGCGAUUUUGCGGCUUCCGUGAAUCGUUAUUGUCCCCUUGUGACCCGGCAUCUUGAGCUGCAAAUACACAUAACAGGGCCGAGCCAUAAACUUGGCGUAUGUCGGCCGCCCAAACAGGGCAUGAUAUGGAGUUUGGAUUUUCACCACUUCAAACGUCAAUGUCUCCGACCUGGAAUCAUGAUCAUCCCCAAAGGCCACUUCGAGAGCUAUCUUACCAACAGGAUAUGCUGAUCUGCCAGGCACUACACCGUGGAAUACUGUAUUAGACGGUUUGAGAUUCUUAUCUGUUAGUCCCGUACGACGGAAGGUCUCAUAGUACAGGAUGUUAAUGCUGCUCCCUCCAUCCAUGAGCACCUUGGUGAACUUAUAACCUCCCACCUGAGGCGCCACCACCAGAGCCAACUGACCCGGAUUAUCGACCUAGGGCGGGUGAUCAUCUCUGCUCCAUAUGAUUGGCUGUUCAGACCAACGUAGAUAACGGGGUAUGGCCGGUUCAACAGAGUUGACUGCCCGCCUCUGAACCUUCCGGUCUCGCUUGUCCAAGCUAGUGGUAAAGACAUGGUACUGCCCACUACUCAACUGCUUUGGGUUGCUCUGGUAACCUGACUGUUGCUGCUGUUGGUUGUAACUACCCUGGUUGUUCUGACUAUUCUGACCAUUAUGUCCGCCCGGAUUACCAUUAAACCCUGAACCGGAACUUCCUCCACCGUAACCCGGCCCGGACCCUGAGCCACCACCAGAUCCGUGAUCAUACAGGAAAUUAUUAGAAUUCUUGAACUCCUGCAUAAUAAAGCAAUCCUUCCAAAGGUGGUUUGCUGGCUCCUCCUUCGUCCCAUGUCUUGGACAGGGCUGGUUUAGCAGAUAGUUCAGGCGGUUUGGGUUAGGGUUGGGUGCUCCACUACGAUUUUUCGUCCUACCCUUGCGCCGCUGGCCAUUGUCCUGUGCGUUGCUAUUAGCCACAAAAUCCAUGUUACCAUCCGCUUUACGCUUGCCUCCUCCGCCAUUGCCUACCUAGUGAUGCUGCUGACCUUUGGAGCUGUUGUUCUUCUUCCCCUUCCCUGUCUUGUCAUCAUUAGAUUCAGGAUCCUUGGUACUAUCAAAAUCAGCAUAUUUUACCAAAGCGGCCAUGAGGGUCCCCAUGUCGGUGCAAUGACGCUUCAUCCGUCCCAAUUUCAACUUCAGGGGCCCAAACCGGCAGUUGCCUUCUAGGGUUAAUACUGCGGUGUCAGUGUUGAUGCGGUCUGAGGAGUGCAACACAUGUGAAACCCGACGCACCCAAUGAGUCGUUGAUUCUCCUUCCUCCUGGACGCAUGCAGCUAAGUCCACUAUCGACAUAGGCUGUUUACAGGUAUCCUAGAAAUUGUUGAUAAACCGGGCUCGAAAUUGGGCCCAUGAACUGAUAGAAUUAGCUGGCAAGCUUUUUAACCAAGUACGGGCCGUUCCUUCAAGCAUCAUGGUGAAGUAUUUCGCACACGCCGUGUCAUCCACAUCAAGCAUCUCCAUGGCCAUCUCAUAGCUCUCUACCCAUGUCUCUGGAGGUUGAUCCGCCGUAUAAUUUGGUACCUUGCGUGGGCCUUUGAAAUCCUUGGGCAGGCACACGUUGCGUAAAGCGGGGAUAAGGCAAGGCACCCCCAAAGAACUAGAAGUAACACCAGGUUCGAUCGAGAUGGUUGGACGAACUGGUGUGAGCUGCCGAGCCUGAUGCUGUGCGGCUAAUUCGGCCUCCCUGCGCGCUCGGGCCCGGUUCACCACUUCCUGAGCGUCAUCAGCACCACCCAUCGGGUUGUUGCCACGGGGUGCUCCACGUCAUUCAUUACUCGACACUGCUAGUUCAUCCAUAUGUCUGCUAUAGCUCCGGCUUGGACGGGGGGUCGAGUGGAUCCGGUCCCGGUUGUACGAGUACGCUUCCUGUUGGGCCAAAGCUGUCCUCAGAAGUUCCUUGACCCGUCGCGUCUCUACUGCCUGCGGCGAGUCACCUUCAAUUGGAAUGGCCUCCAGUCGUGCAACAGCGGCAACAAGAUUGUCCAUUGGGUUGGAGUAGUGACCCGGAGGUGUUAAAGCAUCCUGAGGUAUAACGGUAUUUUGACGAGGCGGGUCCAUCUGACGGGGCUGAACCGGUGCACCGGUCCCAGGGGCUUCUGCCCGGCUCCCCUCCAGCGGAUUGCCGGUUCUUGGUCCUAGAGUGUUGAAAAGGUCUCUGGCCUCGAAAACCGGAGGUAAGCGGGAUCGGUGCUUCCUCCUCAUGACUUCAUGCGACGCGCUCUGGUCCAACAUAAGCAUGUAGGCCUGUGCGUCUAAAGCGGCCCGCUCUGCGGCCAUCCUGGUGUCCUCAGCCGCCAGAUCCGUCUUGGCCUGGGUGAUUUGUUCCUUUACUUUUGCAAUCUCCGUGUUGUGAGCGUCCUGAUCUGGCGGAUUAACUUCUGCCAUAAGCACAGCCAACGCAUCAAAUAGUUCUGAUAGAACCUGAGCCGGCGGGCGCACAGGGCCUCCUGCCCCGGCAGCCGUUGCCGCUGCUGAACCGGAGAUCGUUGCCGCGGCUGUCGAAGAAUGAAGCGCUGCUUGUGUUCCGGUCAUGAAUAUUCCAACCCGGUUAGGCAGAUCAGAGGGGUCCAGAAUACUGUCACCAUCGGAACAGCUCUCAAUCCGGCCAUCUUGUAGCUGAUAAAGAGAUUUGGUUUCUCCGGUCGAAGAUUCGUCACCGGAACAAACGGCAGUCGCCCCGCGAAACUCCGAUGCGUCCUCAUAACUCCCUCCAUGGAUCAUUCCCACGAAGGCACGCUUCAUGGCCGGUUUAACCCGGGCGAAUCGCGCAUGCUGAGCCGUCUCGACGAGGUCGGUGCAAAUGUCCGGUUCAGGGCCCGGUUCACCGAUCUUGCCAAUGAAAACGUGAAUGCUACCAAAGGGGACCCGGUACCCGUACUCAAUUGAGCCGGCCUCGGGGCCCCAGCCUGCGUCGUCGAUGUAGAGCUUGCCGCGACGACUCUUAGUCAUCCGGCCUACAGCGUAGCCCUCGAGUCCUUCAAAGCGGCCCUCCAAGAACCGGAAACCAUCGUGCGAUAGCCCCACGGUGGGCGCCAACUGUCGUGGGUUUGUCAUGGCAGAUGUCCUAGAGAAAGGACUUAGUACAUGGGUGACGCCCGUCGGUUUACAGAGUCCCAACACCGGUCCAUAGAUGUGUCCGGUUUGAUCUCUACUUAUUCCUAACUUACAAUACAAGUUACAUAUUGACGCCAGUUUACGGCUACAGGCUCUCAACCGAUUAUGGGUCUUGAGCCCUCAUCUAUCUUCAUGGGUUUUAACCUGCUUAACUACCGAUGAAGUUAAUCCGGCCCAGAUAGGCCGGUUUACGCCCAGUAGUAAUAUCCCCAACACUGGGUGUGGGAAAGAAGAGAAGAGGCAUGACCAUGCAAACCCCAUGUGCGUACCAUAAUUGUUUCCGAACCGGUUUAUUUAAUUUUUAUUUCAAAGAUUUUUCUUAAAAUAUUGUUAAUCAGUUUUUAACAUGGAAAAAAUGAUAUCGCUAAAAAUGAAAAAGUGUUCAUGUAUGUACAUAUGAAUAAAAAUCCCACCGCGUAUAUAAAAAUGUUUGUAUAUACAAAAAGGUUCAUGUAUUUUUAGAAAUAGUUGAUAGCUAGUUUUUUUUUAGAAAAUAUUCAUACACAUUUUGAAUAUAUAUUCAUGUACUCUAGAAAAUAUGUUUAAAAAAUCUAAGAAGAAAAGGAGGACAUAAAUAGACAACAAAAAGGUGGAAAUAGAAACAAAAAAAUGAUAACAUAAAAGGUAAAACAAAGUAAGCAGAAGUAUUGAAAGAAAAAGGAAAAGUCCAACUAAAGAAUCUGCCCAAUAGACUGGCUGAAUCUACUCUCUACCAAGCAGACUGAACUUGCUGUAGCAGUUGCGCGUGAAUCUAGCUAGGAGCGAAGAAUGGGUCACACGGCCUGCAGCUCGCCCGCCCGAUCCCACAAGAAUCUCUCCCCUGGUUUGUUACUUCACUCCAGUGGUUGGCCCAUCGAUCACCCAUCCCACUCGACCCCCCCGCAACUCGCAUCACACAACUCCUAUUCUCUUGUUGGCUGAUCAACCAAGUUCUCGUCGUCUCGAUCGUCGAAAAUCUAUCGAUGGGGUCGUCGUUUAAGUCGGAGUGGGGGCCGGCGAUCUGCAUGGUGCUCAUCGAGCUGUUCACCACGGGGCAGCUGCUGCUCACCAAGGUGGUGGUCGACGCUGGCCUCAUGGUCUUCGCCCUCCUCACCUACCGCUUCUUCCUCGGUGCCGCCCUCGUUGUCCCUCUCGCCCUCAUCCUUGAGCCGUACGUCAUCGCUUCUCUACUCACCGCCAAUGCAUCUCAUCUUCAAGAUUUUAUUGUUACUCCCUCCGAUCUAUAUUAAAUGUCGCUGGUUUAAUACAAAGUUGUUAGAGGGAGCACUUAUUAAUUUAUGCACGCAUGCAUUUCUGACCGAUUAUAUUCAUGACGUGACGUGAUCGAAUUCCUUCUUUGCACUUAUAUUGAUAUGUGGUUCGUGUGUGCCUAUGGGUGGAUGGCAUGUUGUGUUUGCCUGUUGCCGCCGUGUCACUAGCAUGUACUCCUAAAAAUGUAUAAGAUUGUUUAGACCACGAAAGACUAUUUCUUUACAGAGGGAGUAGUCUCCAGACAAGUUUAGCUUGACAGACCAUUUGUCUUCUUUCCUGGUGGCCGAAGAAGCUACUGAGUUUGGCGGUGGGAACUGUAAGCAUAUCAAAUCUGAUAUGUAUGCCACGCACAUAUGUUACCAGGAUCUAUUUCACGAGUCUUCCAUGACAACAACACAACCUUGGCGCCUGCCUUAUAAGUAGUAUGGAGGGCGAUCACAUCUUUAGGGAAUGAAGGGGAAGUAGUGGCUACUGGCUAGGGCUACACCUGGAUCAAAAACAUAGCAAAACAUUUCAAAAAAAAAUCUCUGUAUUUUUUUACAUCCCAGGAGCUAUGUAGCUCUGUACUUUUUGCAAAGCUGCUCGGAUGUCAUUUGGGAAUCAAACUUUGCAAAGACCUAUAACAUUUGUUCAUAAUCAUUGUCACAAAGUUAGACAACAUGGUCUACAAGUAACACUUAAGGCCGCAUCAACGAAAAUUACGCUCGUAAAUUAAAAGUAAUUGGAUACACUAGCACCACCUCAUGAUCAGAAAUUACAAUAUGCAUGAUCUUUGCAUUUAUAUUGAUCUGUUAUGUUCUUCCCUGCUGGACCAAUAUAUGGUUUGUGUUUUGUCUAUGGCGUGUUUGUCCGUUGCGUUCACCAUGUCGCCAGCAUGUGUUCUGUUACUUCUGUACUGUGUUUAGCUAUUGUUUAUCUUCUUUCCUGAUGGACAAAGAAGCUAUACUGGGUUUGUAGGCGUGGGAAUCAUAAGCAUAUCAAAUCUGAUAUGCCAAACAUAUUUUCCCAAGAUCUUUUUUAAAAAAUAUGCAGCAAAGUCCAGCUAUUUCUCUCAAAAAAAUCUCAAGAUCUCACUAGCCUUUUUUCGAAACAGAGGCAAAAGCUUUGCCUCAUCUCAUUAAUAAAGAAAAAGGGUAACAAGUUGCCCGGUUAAUUAACAAAGAACCGGGCGAAAACCGCUACAACACAACCACAAGAAAGGGCACCCCGGUCGACUUGGCACCGACGAGACCACACACACCACCAAGAAGAGGACACUGCCGAGGUUGCCUGCAAUGUCAUCGUCAUCACCUCUCCCCGAGCAGGCGACUCCGAUUUCGCCGCUGACGACCCAUCAAGACACCUUCGAACAAGCGACACACGAGAACCUCGCCGGCCAAGGGCAACACCACGCGACCUGGCCACCCACACGAAGACACACACGCUGGCGAGAAGAAACACAAAGCUGAGGUUUCCACCAGGUCUCAUCGUCGUCACUCCUCCACGAGCCAGUGAUUCCGACUUUACCAUUCAACUUCCACAAACGAAAUCCUCGUCGCAACAGACGCCGGUACCCAUGCCGGCCCAUGCCAAACAGUCGACCCUCGCGUAGCAACAGGCAGCUCCGACUCUGAUGACAAGCUCCGGAGAGGAGAUGCGCAAGACCCGCGCCGAAGAAGAUCUUCACCACCGGACCGCCCCUUCCAGGUCAUCGUACGCCGCUCAAAUGAAGAGGCUCAAAAAGCAUAGCAGCUCAGACUUCACAACAAGCGAAGACCAAGACGAAGAUACUCGGACACGCCAGAGCCAAGCCCACUAACAAGGUCUUGCCGCUACCAGACCAUCGCUCACCAAUGUCAUCGUUGCCACACAAGCCGUCACACGGACCUCUGGCAUCGCCGGCCACGUGCCGCGAUGCCGUGCAAGUCCAACCCGGGUUCUCACUAGCCUUUCAUGACAACAACCUUGCAUAUGUUUCUCAUGUGGUUAUUUACCAGUAUGGGUUUAGCUCACGAUGUCUUUGGGUUUUGGAAGUCCUCCACCGAACGAGUAGUAUUUCACCACGAAAGGCUUACAAGGAAAUUCCACUAGUAUCAUAUAGACUACUCCCUUUGAUCCAAAUUAAUUGACACAGAUUUAGUACUAAAGUUGUGUCAAUUAAUUUGGAUUGGAGAGAGUACAUGAUAGAGGUUGAGCUCAUUACUCGAAUGAAACCAAGUCUACAACAAAAGGCUAGGAAUUACGUUAUUACUCCCUCCGUUCACUUUUAUAAGUCGUUUUAGACAACUGAAAAUGAGCUAAUUUGCACCUUGUCUGAAAUGUCUUCAAAGCCUUAUCAAAGUGAACAGAGGGAGUAAUUAAGAGGCAUGUAGAUAACAGAGCAGGCCCUAAAUCUGAAAGAUUAGAAAGUUGAAAGUAUAGCUAAUUAGAUGCAAACACAAGUUCAUUGCAUGCACCGCCCACCCAUAUUCCACUAUUUAUUUUUUUAGAGAUUGAGGAAUAACUCUUAUAUAUCCCUCAAACAUAAAGAGAAAAAUUAGAGGGUGGGGACAUCUUGCAAACACAAGUUCUCUGUACAUGCACGCCACUAGCUCACACAUAAAGAAUGACAAGCACUUGGUGAGUUGUUAGAGCCAGCACUCAUCUCCCCUCCCUCCCCGUAGCUUUGCCAUUCCCUCCUUGUCACUUUGCUCAAAGGCUAUCUCCAUUCUCUAAUUCUCCACCACGUACGUCCAGCGACAGUAAUGGGGGGCUCGACGAACGUGAAGGAAUGGUGGCCUGCCAUCUUCAUGUUGUUGAUCCAAAUUUUCACGACAGGGUUAAUGUUGCUCACAAAGGUGGUGGUGGACAAUGGGUCACUUGCUUGGACCUUGCUCACGUACCGCUUCUUCCUUGGCGCCAUCUUGGCCAUCCCCUUGGCGAUGUUCUUUGAGAAGUUAGCUCUAAUUAACUACUGUUAUUUUAGCAUAUUUUUCUCCUUCUCAUGGUUGUCAUAUGACAGGGAACAUUUGGCAAGUAAUUAUCAAAAUGUGUCGUGAUAUAGAAACAUUUUGCAAAUGAUUAUCUGUUUACUUACCCUCAUCACCUCAUGUAGAGGGAGGUUGAAGGAGCUUACACUGAAGGCGUUCAUAUGGAUUUUCACCAGUGCACUUGUGGGGUUAGUCAUUUCGUUCACAUCAUCUCAGUUCGGCAAUGGUUCUGAUAAAUAUCUACGCACAAAGUAGUGGUGAUUGUUGCUUUCACCUUCCAGAUUCACAAUUCCUGGUUUCGCCUACAUUGGCCUCGGAGACACAUCGCCAGGAUACGCAGUAAACUUCUAUAACAUCAUACCGAUUGCCGCCUUCAUCCUCGCGGUCCUUUUCAGGUAAACAAGAUGGAAAUAUAAUCACAAACGCCUACUAGGAAUAUUGGGGCCAUAGAGGAAGGAACUGCAACAACCGACUGUUAUUUUUCUCUGGAAGGAGCCACUAGACAUGAGGAGCCUGGUGGGGAACAUCAAGGUCGUCGGAACCCUAGUCUGCGUUGGAGGAACGCUGGUGAUCAGCCUGUACAAGGGCAAGGUGCUGCACCUUUGGCCCACAAAUAUCAUCGGCUACCACCCAAAGCAAGCCGGAGCUGCUUUUGGUCACCACCAUGUGCGUGGAACCAUCUUGCUCAUCACCAGCAGCCUCAGCCUCGCCGUCUGGUACACAGUACAGGUAUAUAACAAACAUAUAAGCAACAAGUCACUAUUGCAAAGUCUCAAAUAAAUAGUAUUACCUAUAUAUCAUUAAUUUUGUACAGGUACUUCAUGCAAAAUUCAACUCCUCCUCCGAGGGAGUAUUACCUUUUUAAAUUCUUAAGCAAAGUGUGACCAAUACAGCUUAAUUAUAUAUGAGUUUGUAAUGAGCAGGCUCAGAUGCUAAAAGUGUUCCCAUACAAGUACUGGUCCACUGUCGCUACAUGCUUCGUGGGGAGCAUCCAAACGGCUGUCGUGGGGGUUGCCAUGAACAGAGAGAAGGCAACAUGGGCGCUCAAAUGGAACAUGAGCUUGCUCACCAUUGUGUACUCGGUAAAACUAUUCGGCUAUUCAUUUUGUUGUGCAUCAGUUCACUUUGUGGCUCUCAGUUGAAGGUCCUCAUUUACAUCUUGCUGCAGGCAAUACUCAACACUGCUGCCAAAUUUGUGAUGAUUUCAUGGGUCGUCAUGCAGCAUGGGCCAACCUAUCCGGCCAUGUUUUGUGCCGUGACGGUGUUCUUCACUACUAUUCUCGACUCGUUGCUUCUCGGCAAUGAUAUGUCCGUUGGGAGGUAUGCUUACCACUUCUCUCUAUCCUAUAUUAAUAAGUGCUGAUUUUGGCUAACGUUCUUAAGACCGUAGGUAUAUACCAAAAUAUGCAUUGCCAAUUACUAACAUUAUUUUCUUAAAAAUUGUUGCUGAGUUUCCUUGCAAUUAAUAACCGAUCGGUUUACAUGCAUGCAGUGUUCUAGGCAUGUUCAUGAUUCUAGCUGGGCUCUAUCUUUUCCUUUCGGGAAAGAGAAAAGAAUCGGUACCUCCGAGUGAAGAAAAUCCAAAGGAACAAAUGUUGUUUCAGAGUGGAGACAAGAAUGAUAAAUCAGUAGCUAAUGUAUGAUUAUUUCAUUUGGCAAUAUUACAAAAGGGACUAUUCAGAAGUUUGUGUAUUAUGAAAAAUAGAGGAAAAUGGUCAAUAUUGUUUGUGAUGUCCUCAACCAUUCAUCCAAUUUGAUCAUCAUGAAAAAAGGUCAAUAUCCCAAAAUUGUUGAUUAUGGUAGUUGUCUUCAUUUUAGUUAGCGAAUUUUAAACCAGACAAUGAAAAUACUAAAAUGACACAAUUAGUUCUAAGUUUUGUAGUUUCUUUGUUUGGUUUUAUAUGAAGUCCUCAAGUAUUGACCCUGCAUUAUUGUAUCUCUCCACUUCCUCCUGCCUUUUCCUCCUGUCUGAAAGGAUCGAGGUGGAUCUGCGAGGGGCCAGGGCGUGAAUAGAUCUCUACAAUAUUUAUGAUGCUUGCAAGGUCAAGGGACCAAAGUAAAACACAAAUGAAUGAGCUACGGUUAGGGACAAUCGAAGGCACAGGGAAACGAAGAUUUAUUUCGAUGUUCACUCCCUUAGAGAGGAGAUAGUCGCAUCGUUGGAGAGGUUGGAAUCCACAAAGGAAACCUACACCACAUUGCAUAAGAGAAACUCCAACGCGCCGACCCAAACGGACGCGCUCUUUGUCCGCUUUUUGUUCGUUUGGGUCGGCCGCCCGCUCAACGUCCGCCCUCUUUUUGAUUUGGGUCGGCUAUGCGCCCAAUGCACAGGACCCAUUUCAUGUCCAUGCAUAAAUUUUAAAAGGCCCACUGCCAUAGAUCAUGCCAGCGGCCAUGCCAUCGGCCAAAAUUCAUGCCGGCACCAUGCCAAUGGCUGGCAUACAAUGCCAGUCUCCCAAAAAUCCACCACACAGUUUAUGCUGGCACACUUGCCAGCGGUCGGCACACAUGCCAGCACACAAAAAGGGGCGGGAAUUUGACCACGCCAUCUCAGCCGUGGUCAUGCCAGCACACUUGCCGGCAUACAAAAAAAGGAUGGUGCUCUCCACCAUAGAUCACUCGUUGUUGAACUUGAGCAUGUCGGCCUGCAUCUUCUCAAACCACGCCUCUUCCUCAGCGACACGGUGUUCAAGUCCACCUUCAUGACCUCCACCCCCAUCAUCAUGCUAGCGAGCUCCACUUCUUUUGCCUUUCUCUUGGCAUUGACGGCCUCGAUCUCGAGCAUCUUGGCUUGCUUCUCCGCUUCCAUCGCAAGCAUCUUGGCUUGCUUCUCUCAAGGUCAAGCCUCCCCCUUUGGAUCUCCAUGAAGGUGUUCAUUUGAUCUUCCUUAUAUUGCCGGCGCUUCUCCUCCCUUGUGUCCUUCUUGCUCAUUGUCGGUGUCAAAACCGGCGGAUCUCGGGUAGGGGGUCCUGAACUGUGCGUCUAAGGCGGAUGGUAACAGGAGGCAGGGGACAGUUCGGGACCCCCUACCCGAGAUCCGCCGGUUUUGACACCGACAUUGGUGCUUUCGUUGAGAGUUCCUCUGUGUCGUCACCGUUAGGCUUGAUGGCUCCUUCGAUCAUCGAUAGCGAUGCAGUCCAGGGUGAGACUUUUCUCCCCGGACAGAUCUUUGUAUUCGGCGGCUUCGCACUGCGGGCCAACUCUCUUGGCCAUCUGGAGCAGAUCGAGAGUUACGCCCCUGGCCACCAGGUCAGGUUUGGAAGCUUAAACUACAUGGCCGCUGUCCGCGGAGACUUGAUCUUCGACGGAUUCGAGCCCCUGCUGAGUGCGCCCCACGAUCACGAUGAGCAUGAUUUAGCUCUACCAUCGGAUAGUGUUCAUGAGACCGCACCGGCAACCGCUCCGACCCUCAAUUUGGAGCCAAUUGCGCCAUCCAUGGACGGGUUGAUAGACCCCGCCACGGAGGCCAUAUUCUCAGCGACGAUCGAUCCGAGUAUCGACCUUACCCUUCACGGGAGCCGUGACGCCGAACUACCGGAUUCUUCCCCGGCCACGGACUCUGAACCACCUGCGCCCGUGCCUAUCGAAUCCGACUAGGCGCCGAUCAUGGAGUUCACCUCCGCGGAUAUCUUUCAGCACUCGCCCUUCAGCGACAUACUAAACUCAUUAAGGUCUCUCUCCCUGUCAGGAGAGUCCGGGCCGAACUAUGUUCGGCAGGAGUGGGAUGCGGAUGAGUGGAGUGGGAUAUCUUUCAGCACUCGCCCUUCAGCGACAUACUAAACUCAUUAAGGUCUCUCUCCCUGUCAGGAGAGUCCGGGCCGAACUAUGUUCGGCAGGAGUGGGAUGCGGAUGACGAAGAAAUUUGCUGCCCACCCACCACCCACUUAGUAGCCACUGUCGAUGAUUUGACCAACAUGCUCGACUUCGACUCCGAAGACAUCGACGGUAUGGACGACGAUGCAGGAGACGAACAGGAACCACUGCCCACAGGGCACUGGACGCCCACUUCAUCAUAUGAUGUAUACAUGGUGGACACACCCAAAGAAAACAACGACGAGGAACGGAAGGACGCAGCGAAGGGUUGUUCCCUCGAGAAGCAGUCAAAGCAGCGGCGUAAGCGCCGCUCCAAAUCCCGCCUCGGCGGAAACAGCGAUCAUAUAGACCCAGCGAUAGAGCAGGGUGAACCAUCGCCCGAUCACGGCAACACGAAGAAUCAAACCGAACAACCCGACUCAGUCGAAGAUAACAGUCCGGACGACAUCACACCGGACAGGCACCCGGAGCAACAGAAUGCCCAUCAAAGGCUUGUUGCCACUGCGAGGAGUUUGAAAAGGCAGAAGCAAAGGCUCAGGGCUGCACAAGACACACUUAGAAUCAGAUGGAGUGAAGUACUCAACACUGCAUCGAAGUACGGCGGUAAUCGCCACACCAAGAGCUACCCGACGCGAAAGUUGCUACCUGAAUUCGAUGAGGAGGCCUUAGAUCCCCCGCAACCAAAAACCAAAACGGCCAUCCGAUCGGAUAGACGACCUCGUGGCCAACAUAGAGCGGCAAACGACGCCACACAUAAGCCAGUACGCGAUCCAUGUGAGGGCUCGCAUCAAAAGGAUGGCGCAACCAGAUCCAUCUACGGGCCAUGCAAGCACGCUCCAGCAUGCAAUGCAACACAACAAACAUCCCAACACCACGGUACAGCCAAAUACAGGGGUGCCGCACACCCCCUAUGUUUCACCGAUGAGGUGCUGGACCAUGAAUUUCCAGAGGGAUUCAAACCCGUAAACAUAGAGGCGUACGACGGAACGACAGACCCUAGGGUCUGGAUUGAGGACUACAUCCUCCAUAUCCAUAUGGCUAGGAGACGAUCUCCAAGCCAUCAAGUACUUACCCCUCAAGCUCAAAGGACCAGCUCGGCACUGGCUUAAAAGCCUCCCCGAAAACUCCAUUGGAAGCUGGGAAGAGCUCGAAGACGCCUUUCGGGCAAAUUUUCAAGGGACCUAUGUCCGACCACCGAAUGCAGACGAUUUAAGUCAUAUAACUCAAUAGCCCGGAGAGUCAGCCUAAAAGCUUUGGAACAGGUUUCUCACUAAAAAGAACCAAAUAGUCGACUGUCCGGACACCGAAGCCUUAGCAGCUUUCAAGCACAGCGUUCGAGACGAAUGGCUUGCCAGACACCUCGGCCAAGAAAAGCCGAGAACAAUGGCAGCAUUAACAAGCCUCAUGACCCGCUUUUGCGCGGGCGAGGACAGCUGGUUAGCCCGAUGCAGCACCUGCGACCCAAGUACAUCCGAAGUCAGGGACGGAAACAAGAAAUCACGACGCAGCAAAAACAAGCGCUGGAGUAAAGAAGACAGCCCGAAGAGCACGGCGGUAAACGCCGGAUUCAGAAGCUCUCAGCCAUGUCAGCAAAAGCUGCCCUCCAAAGGCAACAGAGACGAACUGUCCAGUCUAAACAAGAUUCUGGACCAAAUAUGUCAGAUCCAUAGCACCCCCGAUAAACCUGCAAAUCAUACCCAUAGAGAAUGUUGGGUCUUCAAGCAGUCGGCAAGCUCAACGCCGAACAUAAGGGGCAGGAUACACCAAGCGAAGGCGAGGACGAGCCUCGCAAGCAAAGCACUGGGGAAUAGAAGAAAUUCCCACCAGAAGUCAAAACAGUAAACGUGUUACACGUGACAAAGAGGAAAAACAAAGCGGCACUCCUAGAGACACAUGCCCUAGGGCCUAUCACCGUGGAGUUCUGCCACUAGUCGUCCCAACCGAUCACCUUCGACCAUCGGGAUUACUCGGCAAGUAUCUGGCAUGCAGGAUGGGCUGCCUUGGUAUUAGACCCAAUAAUUGAUGGAUACCACUUCACAUGAGUCCUGAUGGACGGCGGUAGCAGUCUAAACCUGAUAUAUCAGGACACAGUCCGCAAAAUGGGGAUAGACCCAACAAAAAUUAGCCACAGCAAUACUACCUUUAAAGGAGUAACGCCAGGCCCAGAGGCCCAUUACACGGGCUCCCUGCUACUAGAGGUUAUAUUCGGCUUUCCCGAUAACUUCUGCAGCGAAAAUUUAACGUUCCACAUCGCUCCGUUCCAAAGUGGUUAUCAAGCACUACUCGGAUGCGAAGCUUUCGCUCGCUUUAACACAAUACCGCAUUAUGCUUCUCUCAUGCUUAAGAUGCCCGGUCUGCGCGGCAUCAUUACAAUAAAUGGAAAUAUUGAGCGCUCCUUGCAUGCGGAAGACCAUGCGGGUGCCUUGGCAGCCGCACACUAAACGGCCUCACCAACUAAAGCAUCUGACAGGUCGUUAAGACCACGAACGCGGUUAGACGAGUCCGGCGUAGCUAUAUGUAAUCGAUACAGGUUUGAUGGCUAUACCCCUGUUACAAUACAAGGGGCUCAACGCGCGCAAACAAGUGGCAAUUAGGCUCAACUUUACUCAUCUUGAUUGUACAUGGUUUCUUUAGUAUAACCUACCUUUUCACACGACAACUUGUCAACUAAGUUCCUCUCUUUUACAGAUGACCAUCGUGCUACACUCGCCCAGGAUACGGCACAACGGAGACACAGGCGCAGACGUGCAGCAGGGACCCGUUCCAAGGAUUCUUUUUAGAUUAAGACCCUGUGUAAACCUUUUUUAUUGUCUCUUGUUGAUACACAUCAUCCCCCGGAUUCUUAGUACAAUUGAGAAGGAUGCUAACGUAUUGGCAUGUGGCCACGUCAGAAUAUUGCAUGUACCUGGACACCAGGGGCUUAUUACAAAGGGCACUGCUUAAGCCCGGUUUACAUCAUAAAGACCGAAUACCUUAGGGAGUGUUUGAAGGAAAUAUGACCUAGAGGCAAUAAUAAAGUUAUUGUUUAUUUCCUUAUAUCAUGAUAAAUGUUUAUCAUUCAUGCUAGAUUUGUAUUAACUGGAAACAUAAUACAUGUGUGAAUACAUAGACAAACAGAGUGACACUAGUAUGCCUCUACUUGACUAGCUCGUUGAUCAAAGAUGGUUAUGUUUCCUAACCAUAGACAUGAGUUGUCAUUUGAUUAACAGGAUCACAUCAUUAGGAGAAUGAUGUGAUUGACUUGACCCAUUCCGUUAGCAUAGCACUUGAUCGUUUAGUUUGUUGCUAUUGCUUUCUUCAUAACUUAUACAUGUUUCUAUGACUAUGAGAUUAUGCAACUCCCGUUUACUGGAGGAACACUUUGUGUGCUACCAAACGUCACAACAUAAUUGGGUGAUUAUAAAGGUGCUCUACAGGUGUCUCCGAAGGUACUUGUUGGGUUGGCGUAUUUCGAGAUUAGGAUUUGUCACUCCGAUUGUCGGAGAGGUAUCUCUAGGCCCACUCGGUAAUGCACAUCACUAUAAGCCUUGCAAGCAUUGCAACUAAUGAGUUAGUUGCAGGAUGAUGUGUUACGGAACGAGUAAAGAGACUUGCCGGUAAUGAGAUUGAACUAGGUAUUGAGAUACCAACGAUCGAAUCUCGGGCAAGUAACAUACCGAUGGCAAAGGGAACAACGUAUGUUGUUAUGCGGUUUGACCAAUAAAGAUCUUCGUAGAAUAUGUGGGAGCCAAUAUGAGCAUCCAGGUUCCGCUAUUGGUUAUUGGCCGGAGACGUGUCUCGGUCAUGUCUACAUUGUUCUCGAACCCGUAGGGUCCGCACGCUUAAGGUUUCAAUGACAGUUAUAUUAUGAGUUUAUGAGUUUUGAUGUACCGAAGGAGUUCGGAGUCUCGGAUGAGAUCGGGGACAUGACGAGGAGUCUCUAAAUGGUCGAGACGUAAAGAUCGAUAUAUUGGACGACUAUAUUCGAACAUCUUAAAGGUUCCGAGUGAUUCGGGUAUUUUUCGAAGUACCGGAGAGUUACGGGAAUUCGCCGGGGAGUAUAUGGGCCUUAUUGGGCCAUGCGGGAAUAGAGGAGAGAGGCCAAAAGGAAGGAGGCGCGCGCCCCCCCUCUGGUCCGAAUUGGACAAGGGGUGCAGCCCCCUUUUCCUUGUUCCUCUCCCCUGUUGGAAAUAUGCCCUAGAGGCAAUAAUAAAUUAGUUAUUAUUAUAUUUCCUUGUUCAUGAUAAUCGUUUAUUAUCCAUGCUAGAAUUGUAUUGAUAGGAAACUUAGAUACAUGUGUGGAUACAUAGACAACACCAUGUCCCUUGUAAGCCUCUAGUUGACUAGCUCGUUGAUCAAUAGAUGGUUACUGUUUCCUGACCAUGGCAUUGGAUGUCGUUGAUAAGGGGAUCACAUCAUUAGGAGAAUGAUGUGGUGGACAAGACCCAAUCCUAAGCCUAGCACAAGAUCGUGUAGUUCGUAUGCUAAAGCUUUCCUAAUGUCAAGUAUCAUUUCCUUAGACCAUGAGAUUGUGCAACUCCCAGAUACCGUAGGAAUGCUUUGGGUGCACCAAACGUCACAACGUAAUUGGGUGGCUAUAAAGGUGCACUGCAGGUAUCUCCGAAAGUGUCUCUUGGGUUGGCACGAAUCGAGACUGGGAUUUGUCACUCCGUGUAACGGAGAGGUAUCUCUGGGACCACUCGGUAGGACAUCAUCAUAAUGUGCACAAUGUGACCAAGGAGUUGAUCACGGGAUGAUGUGUUACAGAACGAGUAAAGAGACUUGCCGGUAACGAGAUUGAACGAGGUAUCGGGAUACCGACGAUCGAAUCUCGGGCAAGUAUCGUACCGAUAGACAAAGGGAAUUGUAUACGGGAUUGAUUAAAUCCUCGACAUCGUGGUUCAUCCGAUGAGAUCAUCGUGGAACAUGUGGGAGCCAACAUGGGUAUCCAGAUCCCGUUGUUGGUUAUUGACUGGAGAGUCGUCUCAGUCAUGUCUGCGUGUCUCCCGAACCCGUAGGGUCUACACACUUAAGGUUCGGUGACGCUAGGGUUGUAGAGAUAUUAGUAUGUGGUAACCCGAAAGUUGUUCGGAGUCCCAGAUGAGAUCCCGGACGUCACGAGGAGUUCCGGAAUGGUCCGAAGGUGAAGAAUUGUAUAUAGGAAGUCCAGUUUCAGCCACCGGGAAAGUUUCGGGGGAAACCCUAGGGGUGGGGGGCGCCCCACCUGACUUGGGGGGCAAGUCCCCCCUUGGUCGCCGCCCCCCUUGGAGAUGGAUCUCCUAGGGCCGGCGCCCCCGCCCCCCUAGGGGCCCUAUAUAUAGUGGAGGGGAGGGAGGGCAGCCGCACCCAAGUCCCUGGUGCCUCCCUCUCCCUCCGUGACACCACUCCCUCUCGUUGGUGCUUGGCGAAGCGCUGCCGAGAUCCCGCUGCUUCCACCACCACGUCGUCGUGCUGCUAGAUCUCCAUCAACCUAUCCUCUCCCCUUGCUGGAUCAAGAAGGAGGAGACGUCUCUCCGUUCCGUACGUGUGUUGAACGUGAAGGUGCCGUUCGUUCGGCGCUAGGAUCAUCGGUGAUUUGGAUCACGACGAGUAUGACUCCAUCAACCCCGUUCUCUUGAACGCUUCCGCUUAGCGAUCUUCAACGGUAUGAAGAUGCACUCCCUCUCUCUCGUUGCUAGUAUCUCCUAGAUUGAUCUUGGUGACACGUAGGAAAAUUUUGAAUUAUUGCUACGUUCCCCAACAUCCCCCUCUUUCCUUCUCUCCUACUCCAACAAGGGAAGGAGGAGUCCUACUCCCAGUGGGAGUAGGACUCCCCCCUUGGCGCGCCCUCCUCCUAGGCCGGCCGCCUCCCCCCUUGCUCCUUUAUAUACGGGGGCAGGGGGCACCCCAUAGAGACAACAAUUGAUCAUUGAUCUCUUAGCCGUGUGCGGUGCCCCCCUCCACCAUAAUCCUCGAUAAUAUUGUAGCGGUGCUUAGGCGAAGCCCUGCGACAGUAGAACAUCAAGAUCAUCACCACGCCGUAAUGCUGACGUAACUCUUCCCCGACAUUCUGCUGGAUCGGAGUCCGGGGAUCGUCAUCGAGCUUAAAGUGUGCUAGAACUCGGAGGUGCCGUAGUUUCGGUGCUUGAUCGGUCGGGCCGUGAAGACGUACGACUACAUCAACCGUGUUGUGCUAAUGCUUCCGCUUUCGGUCUAUGAGGGUACGUAGACAACACUCUCCUCUCUCGUUGCUAUGCAUCACCAUGAUCUUGCGUGUGCGUAGGAAAUUUUUGAAAUUACUACGUUCCCCAACAGUGGUAUCAAAGCCUAGGUUUUAUGCAUUGAUGUUGUGCACGAGUAGAACACAAGUGAGUUGUGGGCGAUAUAAGUCAUACUGCUUACCAGCAUGCCAUACUUUGGUUCGGCAGUAUUGUUGGAUGAAGUGGCCCGGACCGACAUUACGCGUACACUUACGCGAGACUGGUUCUACCGACGUGCUUUGCACACAGGUGGCUGGCGGGUGUCAGUUUCUCCAACUUUAGUUGAACCGAGUGUGGCUAUGCCCGGUCCUUGUGAAGGUUAAAAUAGCACCAACUUGACAAACUAUCGUUGUGGUUUUGAUGCGUAGGUAAGAACGGUUCUUCUCAGCCCGUAGCAGCCACGUAAAACCUGCAACAACAAAGUAGAGGGCGUCUAACUUGUUUUUGCAGGGCAUGUUGUGAUGUGAUAUGGUCAAGACGUGAUGAGAUAUAAGUUGUUGUAUGAGAUGAUCAUGUUUUGUUAAAGUUAUCGGCAACCGGCAAAAGCCUUAUGGUUAUCUCUCUAUUGCAUAAGAUGCAAGCGCCAAAUAAUUGCUUUACUUUAUCGCUAUGCAAUAGCAAUAGUUGCAAGAGCAAUUGUUGGUGAGACAACCAUGUGACGACACAUUGAUAUAGAUCAAGAUGAUCGAGAUCAUGGUGUCAUGCCGGUGACGAUGGAGAUCAUGACGAUGCUUUGGAGAUGGAGAUCAAAGGCACAAGAUGAUGAUGGCCAUAUCAUGUCACAUAUUAUGAUUGCAUGUGAUGUUUAUCUUUUAUACAUCUUAUUUUUCUUAGUUCGGCGGUAGCUUUAUAAGAUAAUCUCUCGCUAAAUUAUCAAGGUAUAAGUGUUCUCCCUGAGUAUGCACCAUUGCGAAAGUUCUUCGUGCUGAGACACCACGUGAUGAUCGGAUGUGAUAGGCUCUAUGUUCAAAUACAACGGGUGCAAAACAGUUGCACACGCGGAAUACUCAGGUUAAACUUGACGAGCCUAGCAUAUAACAGAUAUGGCCCCGGAACACGGAGACCGAAAGGUCGAGCGUGAAUCAUAUAGUAGAUAUGAUCAACAUAGUGAUGUUCACCAUUGAAACUACUCCAUCUCACGUGAUGAUCGGACAUGGUUUAGUUGAUAUGGAUCAUGUGAUCACUUAGAAGAUUAGAGGGAUGUUUGUCUAAGUGGGAGUUCUUAAGUAAUAUGAUUAAUUGAACUUUAAUUUAUCAUGAACUUAGUCCUGGUAGUAUUAGCAUAUCUAUGUUGUAGAUCAAUAGCUCGCGUUUAGCUCCCCUGUUUUAUUUUUGAUAUGUUCCUAGAGAAAACUAAGUUGAAAAAUAUUAGUAGCAAUGAUGCGGAUUGGAUCCGUGAUCUGAGGUUUAUCCUCAUUGCUGCACAGAAGAAUUAUGUCCUUGAUGCACCGCUAGGUGACAAACCUAUUGCAGGAGCAGAUGCAAAUGUUAUGAACGUUUGGCUAGCUCAAUAUGAUGACUACUCAAUAGUUUAGUGCACCAUGCUUAAACGGCUUAGAAUCGGGACUUCAAAGACGUUUUGAAUGUCAUGGACCAUAUGAGAUGUUCCAGGAGUUGAAGUUAAUAUUUCAAGCAAAUACCCGAGUUGAGAGAUAUGAAGUCUCCAACAAGUUCUAUAGCUAAAAGAUGGAGGAGAAUAGCUCAAUCAGUGAGCAUGUGCUCAAAUUGUCUGGGUACUACAAUCGCUUGAAUCAAGUGGGAGUUAAUCUUCCAGAUAAAAUAGUGAUUGACAGAAUUCUCUAGUCACCAUCACCAAGUUAGCAGAACUUCGUGAUGAACUAUAAUAUGCAAGGGAUAAUGGAAACGAUUCCCGAGCUUUUCAUGAUGAUGCAAUGGAUGAAGGUAGAAAUCAAGAAAGAGCAUCAAGUGUUUAUGAUUAACAAGACCACUAGUUUCAAGAAAAGAGCAAAGGGAAAGAAAGGGAACUUCAAGAAGAACGGCAAGCAAGUUGCUGCUCAAGUGAAGAAGCCCAAGUCUGGUCCUAAGCCUGAGACUAAGUGCUUCUACUGCAAAGGGACUGGUCACUGGAAGCGGAACUGCCCCAAGUAUUUUGCGGAUAAGAAGGAUGGCAAAGUGAACAAAGGUAUAUUUGAUAUACAGAUUAUUGAUGUGUAUUUUACUAGUGUUCUAGCAACCCCUCGGUAUUUGAUACUGGUUCAGUUGCUAAGAGUAGUAACUCGAAACGGGAGUUGCAGAAUGAACAGAGACUAGUUAAGGAUGAAGUGACGAUGUGUGUUGGAAGUGGUUCCAAGAUUGAUAUGAUCAUCAUCGCACACUCCCUAUACUUUCGGGAUUAGUGUUGAACCUAAAUAAGUGUUAUUUGGUGUUUGCGUUGAGCAUGAAUAUGAUUUUAUCAUGUUUAUUGCAAUACAGUUAUUCAUUUAAGUAACAGAAUAAAUUGUUGUUCUGUUUACAUGAAUAAAACCUUCUAUGGUCAUACACCCAAUGAAAAUGGUUCGUUGGAUCUCAAUCGUAGUGAUACACAUAUUCAUAAUAUUGAAACCAAAAAAAUGCAAAGUUAAUAAUGAUAGUGCAACUUAUUUGUGGCACUGCCGUUUAGGUCAUAUUGGUGUAAAGCGCAUGAAGAAACUCUAUGCUGAUGGACUUUUGGAAUCACUUGAUUAUGAAUCAGUUGAUGCUUGCGAACCAUGCCUCAUGGGCAAGAUGACUAAGACUCUGUUCUCCGGAACAAUGCAGCAAGCAACAGAUUUGUUGGAAAUCAUGCAUACUGAUGUAUGUGGUCCGAUGAAUAUUGAAGCUCGCGGCAGGUAUCAUUAUUUUCUGAUCUUCACAGAUGAUUUGAGCAGAUAUGAGUAUAUCUACUUGAUGAAACACAAGUCUGAAACAUUUGAAAAGUUCAAAGAAUUUCAGAGUGAAGUGGAGAAUCAUCGUAACAAAAUAAAAGUUUCUACGAUAUGAUCGCAGAAGUAAAAUAUUUGAGUUACGAGUUUGGCCUUCAGUUAAAACAAUGUGAAAUAGAACACCACAGUGUAAUGGUGUGUCCGAACGUCGUAACCGUACUUUAUUAGAUAUGGUGUGAUCUAUGACGUCUCUUACUGAUUUACCGCUAUCGUUUUGGGGUUAUGCAUUAGAGACAGCUACAUUCACGUUAAAUAGGGCACCAUCUAAAUUCGUGGAGAUGACACCGUAUGAACUGUGGUUUGGCGAGAAACCUAAGUUGUCGUUUCUUAAAGUUUGGGACUGCGAUGCUUAUGUGACAAAGUUUCAACAUGAUAAGCUCGAACCCAAAUCGGAGAAGUAAAUCUUCAUAGGAUACCCAAAAGAAACUGUUGGGUACACCUUCUAUCACAGAUCCGAAGGCAAGUUAUUCGUUGCUGAGAAUGGAUCCUUUCUAGAGAAGGAGUUUCUCUCAAAAGAAGUGAGUGGGAGGAAAGUAGAGCUUGAUGAGGUAACUGUACCUGCUCCCUUAUUGGAAAGUAGUUCAUCACAGAAAUCUGUUCUAGUGACUACUACACCAAUUAGUGGGGAAGCUAAUGAUGAUGAUCAUGUAACUUCAGAUCAAGUUACUACCGAACUUUGUAGGUAAACCAGAGUGAAAUCCGCACCAGAGUGGUACGGUAAUCCUGUUCUGGAGGUCAUGUUACUUGACCAUGACGAGCCUACAAACUAUGAGGGAGCGAUGAUGAGCCCAGAUUCCGCGAAAUGGCUUGAGGCCAUGAAAUCUGAGAUGAGAUCCAUGUAUGAGAAUAAAGUAUGGACUUUGAUUGACUUGCCCAUUGAUCAGCGAGCCAUUGAGAUUAAAUGGAUCUUCAAGAGGAAGACGGACGCUGAUAGUAGUGUUACUAUCUACAAUGCUAGAAUUGUCGCAAAAAGGUUUUUGACAAGUUCAAGGUGUUGACUACGAUGAGAGUUUCUCACUCGUAUCUAUGCUUAAGUCUGUCCAAAUCAUAUUAGCAAUUGCCGCAUUUUAUGAAAUCUGGCAAAUGGAUAAACAAAACUGCAUUCCUUCAUGGAUUUAUUAAAGAAGAGUUGUAUAUGAUGCAACCAGAAGGGUUUGUCAAUCCUAAAGGUACUAACAAAAUAUGCAAGCUCCAGCGAUCCAUCUAUGGACUGGUGCAAACAUCUCGGAGUUGGAAUAUACGCUUUGAUAAGUUGAUCAAAGCAUAUAGUUUUAUACAGAUUUGCGGUGAAGCCUGUAUUUACAAGAAAGUGAGUGGGAGCACUACUGCAUUUCUGAUAAGUAUAUGUGAAUGACAUAUUGUUGAUCGGAGAUAAUGUAGAAUUAUUCUGCAAAGCAUAAAGGAAUGUUUGAAAGGAGUUUUUCAAAGAAAGACCUCGGUGAAGUUGCUUACAUAUUGAGCAUCAAGAUCUAUAGAGAUAGAUCAAGACGCUUGAUAAGUUUUUCAAUGAGUACAUACCUUGACAAGAUUUUGAAGUAGUUCAAAAUGGAACAUUCAAAGAAGGAGUUCUUGCCUGUGUUACAAGGUGUGAAGUUGAGUAAGACUCAAAACCCGACCACGGCAGAAGAUAGAAAGAGAAUGAAAGUCAUUCCCUAUGCCUCAGCCGUAGGUUCUAUAAAGUAUGUCAUGUUGUGUACCAGACCUAUUGUAUACCCAACCCUGAGUUUGGCAAAGGAGUACAAUAGUGAUCUAGGAGUAGAUCACUGGACAUUGGUCAAAAUUAUCCUUAGUGGAAUAAGGAUAUGUUUCUCGAUUAUGGAAGUGACAAAAGGUUUGUCGUAAAGGGUUACGUCGAUGCAAAUUUUGACACUGAUCCAGAUGACUCUAAAUCUCAAUCUAGAUACAUAUUGAAAGUGGGAGCAAUUAGCUAGAGUAGCUCUGUGCAGAGCAUUGUUGACAUAGAAAUUUGCAAAAUACUUACGGAUCUGAAUGUGGCAGACCCGUUGACUAAACUUCUCUCACAAGCAAAACAUGAUCACACCUUAGUACUUUUUGGGUGUUAAUCACAUAGCGAUGUGAACUAGAUUAUUGACUUUAGUAAACCCUUUGGGUGUUGGUCACAUGUCGAUGCGAACUAUGGGUGUUAAUCACAUGGUGAUGUGAACUAUUGAUAUUAAAUCACAUGGUGAUGUGAACUAGAUUAUUGACUCUAGUGCAAGUGGGAGACUGAAGGAAAUAUGCCCUAGAGGCAAUAAUAAAGUUAUUAUUUAUUUCCUUAUAUCAUGAUAAAUGUUUAUUAUUCAUGCUAGAAUUGUAUUAACCGGAAACAUAAUACAUGUGUGAAUACAUAGACAAACAAAGUGUCACUAGUAUGCCUCUACUUGACUAGCUCGUUGAUCAAAGAUGGUUAUGUUUCCUAACCAUAGACAUGAGUUGUCAUUUGAUUAACGGGAUCACAUCAUUAGGAGAAUGAUGUGAUUGACUUGACCCAUUCCGUUAGCAUAGCACUUGAUCGUUUAGUUUGUUGCUAUUGCUUUCUUCAUGACUUAUACAUGUUCCUAUGACUAUGAGAUUAUGCAACUCCCAUUUACCGUAGGAACACUUUGUGUGCUACCAAACGUCACAACGUAACUGGGUGAUUAUAAAGGUGCUCUACAGGUGUCUCCGAAGGUACUUGUUGGGUUGGCGUAUUUCGAGAUUAGGAUUUGUCACUCCGAUUGUCGGAGAGGUAUCUCUGGGCCCACUCGGUAAUGCACAUCACUAUAAGCCUUGCAAGCAUUGCAACUAAUGAGUUAGUUGCGGGAUGAUGUGUUACGGAACGAGUAAAGAGACUUUCCGGUAAUGAGAUUGAACUAGGUAUUGAGAUACCAACGAUCGAAUCUCGGGCAAGUAACAUACCGAUGGCAAAGGGAACAACGUAUUUUGUUAUGCGGUUUGACCGAUAAAGAUCUUCGUAGAAUAUGUGGGAGCCAAUACGAGCAUCCAGGUUCGGCUAUUGGUUAUUGGCCGGAGACGUGUCUCGGUCAUGUCUACAUUGUUCUCGAACCCAUAGGGUCCGCACGCUUAAGGUUUCGAUGAUAGUUAUAUUAUGAGUUUUGAUGUACCGAAGGAGUUCGGAGUUUCGGAUGAGAUCGGGAACAUGACGAGGAGUCUCUAAAUGGUUGAGACGUAAAGAUCGAUAUAUUGGACGACUAUAUUCGGACAUCGGAAAGGUUCCAAGUGAUUCAUGUAUUUUUCGGAGUACCGGAGAGUUACGGGAAUUCGCCAGGGAGUAUAUGGGCCUUAUUGGGCCAUACGGGAAUAGAGGAGAGGGCCAAAAGNNNNNNNNNNNNNNNNNNNNNNNNNNNNNNNNNNNNNNNNNNNNNNNNNNNNNNNNNNNNNNNNNNNNNNNNNNNNNNNNNNNNNNNNNNNNNNNNNNNNNNNNNNNNNNNNNNNNNNNNNNNNNNNNNNNNNNNNNNNNNNNNNNNNNNNNNNNNNNNNNNNNNNNNNNNNNNNNNNNNNNNNNNNNNNNNNNNNNNNNNNNNNNNNNNNNNNNNNNNNNNNNNCAAGGGGUGCAGCCCCCUUUUCCUUGUUCCUCUCCCCCUCUUUCAUUCUCUCCUGCUCCAACAAGGGAAGGAGGAGUCCUACUCCCGGUGGGAGUAGGACUCCCCCCUUGGUGCGCCCUCCUCCUAGGCUGGCCGCCUCCCUCCUUGCUCCUUUAUAUACGGGGGCAGGGGGCACCCCAUAGAGACAACAAUUGAUCAUUGAUCUCUUAGCUGUGUGCGGUGCCCCCCUCCACCAUAUUCCUCGAUAAUAUUGUAGCGGUGCUUAGGCGAAGCCCUGCGAUGGUAGAACAUCAAGAUCGUCACCAUGCCGUCGUGCUGACGGAACUCUUCCCCGACAUUUUGCUGGAUCGGAGUCCGGGGAUCGUCACCGAGCUAAACGUGUGCUAGAACUCGGAGGUGCCGUAGUUUCGGUGCUUGAUCGGUCGGGCCAUGAAGACAUACGACUACAUCAACCGCGUUGUGCUAACGCUUCUGCUUUCGGUCUACGAGGGUAUGUAGACAACACUCUCCUCUCUCGUUGCUAUGCAUCACCAUGAUCUUGCGUGUGCGUAGGAAAUUUUUGAAAUUACUACGUUCCCCAACAGUGUUCGGCAUCACGAGUUUGGCCUUAUAUGCAUCAGCUCUGAAUCAUGUCUUUGGUCAAAUGUUGGGUUUCCCCGGCUCCUUUGUUUUGCUGCCUUACGUUCCGCUCUAUCGGCUAAGGCGGCACCAGGAGAACUACUGCGAUUGUGCCCUGGUUCACCCAGACGAGCACCUCAGUAGAGAAAGCCGAAAACUGACUCAUGAUAUAGCGUGAGACUGGUCAACCACUCGAUGACCUAGCGGAAUCUUCGGGAUUCCUCCGCCUUAACAAAGGGUCGUUUCCCGGCCAGGCAUGUACGCGCCCCGAAUCCGGAUGAGCGCGGAGCCACCAAGGGCUAUAUAGUAGCCCCAUUGUCAAACUCCUCUGGCUAAGUGAAAGUGUUAAAGCAUUAUAGUCCGGUUGCCUAGUUCGCUGCGCUAUCACCUCCUUAAUGGACCAAGACGUUGGAUCAAGUGUGAACAUGCGUCUUCUGCGUACACCCCCGCAUUAUAUGCGUGGGGGCUGAAGCCGACGACUGCCAUCUUUCAGGUUAUAUACAUAUAUACAUAAACGGCCGGACAGGAGGCAUCAUAGCACUUUCGGGCAAAAGUAUAAAUACAGCCUUGAUAAAUUCAAUAAAACAUUGUUUUUACAAUGGGACUAUAUGUCACUGGAAAAUAAUAUUCUUCGAGCACUGAGCCUCUAUCGAACGAGCGCCUUCAAGGACUUCUUUAAAAUAGUGCUCGGCAGCCACUCGGCCUAUGACCGAACCCUGUGCCGCAACAGUGGUGGCCUCCAUCUCCGCCCAGUAUGUUUUAACACGGGCAAGGGCCAUCCGCGCACCUUCUAUGCACGUGAUCUCUUUACAGCAUCGAUGUGUGGCACAGCUUCAAGGAAUUGUUGCACUAAGCUAAAGUAGCUACUCGGCCUUGGCCCUCCCGGCCACAGGUGAUCCACAAUGGACCUCAUGGCAAGUCCGGACAACCUAUGGAGCUCGGCCCAACCGGUCAAUCGCUCAUUCAGCAGCAACGGACGGACUGGAGCGUGAAACUGUGACCAGAACAGCUUUUCCACUUCGGGACCUUUCUGAUCCUUGAAGUACUCGGCUGCAUCAGCAGCACUGGCAGCCAAAUCCAUGUACGCAUCCGCAGAACUCCAUAGCCGGUCUAGAGGAGCAUACUUCGGAUCUCUGAACUUAGUCCGCAACAAGAAGGGCUUCCCAGACACGAUAUCUGCAGCUUGAUUCAGCUCCUCCUUCGUCGCUAUAAUUUCGGAGCGGGCUUCCUUGGCAGCCACCCGGGCCUUCUCCAGGUCCAGGACUCCCUCACUCAUCAUGCCCUCCACGGUUGCAAGCAAAGUAAUCAACGCCGCAUCACGCUUGUCCUCCUUCUUGGAGUUGGUCUUCCCCCACGGCCGUGGCUUUUCACCCUCCCCAAGCUGCUCCAUGGCUUCCUCCCCCCCCCCCCACGCGACAUGAGGGUGGCAUAUUGCACCUUGAACUUCUCCUUCCCCUUGAUGACCAUCAACAAUGGGAGAGGUGGAAGGACUUGCCGUCAUGUUGGACCUUGAAUGCCUCCAAAGCUUGGAAUGCCUACAAAUGAAUAGCAUGCAAGCAUAUGGGCAAAUGGACAUGCAAGCAUAAAUUAAAAUGUAAACAGAUAUGAAGAGGGGCACAUGUAUACCAUAUCUUGCAUGCGAUGCCGCUCACGGGGCGUGCCUUGAUGGUCUCAAGGGUGGCACAAAACUUGUUGCACUCUUGUUGUAUCACCCUCCAUCGCUUCGAGAGGGACACCCACCCAUGCUUUCUUUGCAUUUGGUAUGGCGCAAACUUCUCGCGUUCAUGGUACUCGUGAUGCACACGAAUCCAAAAGGUUGAUGCCUUUUGUUCGGCGUCGACCUUGGAGUCUUGCCCAAUACCCCUCCAACACUCACAAAGGAGCUUGUCCUCGGACGGGGUGUAUGCCUUUGUCCACUUGCUUUUGCGCUUCGGCUUCGUGCCGGCUUGGUUGAGGAGCUCGUCCUCGAACAAAGGCUCUCGGUCGAUGUCCAUAUCAUCCUCUUCCUCGAGGUUGUAGUCCUCUGGGAACCCGUGGUCGAGCGGGAAGCUGCCCAGACCGACAUGAUCUUGCAUGAACGCGUCCUCCGUGCCAGCUUCAUCAUAGCUCGACGGCGUGAAUGGCGCUCAGUCGUCAUGGCUUUGGGCCUCCUCGGGAUCGUAGGCAGCUGCAGUGGCACCGCCAACGGAGGCAGCGGCCGCUGCACCACCUUCGAAGAUGAUGUUCUCCAUGAUGAAAUGGCUAGUCGUUUCGUCCUCGCCGGCCGCCGCCAUUCUGUCGAACAGGUUGUGUGCACCAGGGAUCAUGUCGGCUGGCAUCUCCCGCGAGUGUUUCCUCGCUCCUCUAGAGGAUGAUGAACUGGCCACCGACGUGGCGUUGAGAUCAAUGGCCACGGGCGCAGGCGUGGAUGGCGCCACCAUGCUCACCUCCGGCGAGCAUUCCCAAGAGAAGUGGGAAGCUUGCAGAUAGACAUGGAAGCCGGGAAUCGGCUGCGUGGCAGACGUGCGCGGCGAUUCUAGCAGCACCAUGGGAGGAAACGUUGACGAGCCCGUGCUGGUCGCGGCCACGGCGGCGCUGAUGAUCCCGUUUUGGACAGAGUUCAACCCUAGGUACAUCAGGCCUCCCUCAUUGCGGCGGCGACUCGGGCACUGGUUUCCUCCUACUGUGCGGCUGCGGAGAGGGCGGUGACGGCCGCCGCUUCGUCCCUUGCGUCUGCCACAUGCCUCUGGUCCGUUCGCUUUGCCGACUGCACGACCCGCUCCGCGUCAGCUUCUUCUUCUUCUUGGGUGGCGUCGCGGUCUUGCGGGGCACAGGCGAGGCCGGCGGCGGCAUCAAGGGUCGGCGCGUCAUCGACCAUGGCUGGGAGCGCGAGCGGGCGGGGGCGUUUUGGGAAAGUGGAGGGAAAUGGUGGUCGAUGUGCCAUCGACUGGCGGGCCAGGGGAAGGAGUAGGCGUGUGUCACAUGCGUCCGUUUCGUGUUCGCGCCGACGCAAAUGAGGCUCAAAUUUAGGCCAGCAAUGGAUCGGCGGGCGGACGAAAAGCGGACGCGCGUCCGUUUGGGUCGGCUUGUUGGGACGACUUUCUGUCCGUGACAACCCAAACGGACGCGCGCGGAUGAAAUAGGUCGGCGCGUUGGAAUUUCUCUAAGGGACUAAAACCUGAGUGUACAGUUAGCAAACAUAUUAGUCCUUAUCAAUGUCGAAAUCUGAAUAUGUUGACUAAAACCUGAAUGUACUAGAAAAUGUUGACUACUAAAACCUGAAUGACAUUUGACAAUGAAGGAGAUGCUGUGCAUUUUAGCACAUCGAGGAAGUUAUUCGGUUCCGCCAAGUUAAGAGUACAUUUUACAUAACUUGACGAGCUGCCCGAUGAGAUUCCAAGCUUGUAUUUUUUGCACAUAUGAUGUUUCUUCAUGGAUCUCCAUGGUAGUGUCGUGAAAUCCUUUUGAUGUUGCCUAUUCUCUUUGAGAUAUCACCACAAAGGUGAUUAGCAACCACUAGUGUUAUUGUGUUAGACCUUGACACAGCAUCCAAACCUUCACAAACUUUCCGAAGGAAAAUCACAAGUUGAUCCCUCAUAGGUCCAUCUCGGUCAUUUCACCCCCAACCCAUUCAUAGGUUCCAAAUUAUUGCAAAUCCAAACAAAAAGACCUCGGAGGGUCCGUAGGAAACAUGCUCGACGACUUUGAAUGAACUAUCGUGAACCUAUCCUAGAAGGCUCUGAAUGAAUGGAACAUAAGGUUUUGUAAAAUUCACUUAUCCCAAGUUGAAGGUUCCGACCACUCACCAUUCGGAUGGUACGAAUUAUAUUGGGACCUAGGGAUGUCGCUAGUGAUCAAUAUUGAGAUGUUUGGGUGGAUGUGUCUGUAGUGUCCAAUUUCAUUGAAACCAAACUUCACUAGCUCAAGGGUCUUGGAAGAAUUCACUUGGAGGAACCGAAUGAGAGUAGGACCUUCUUUGGCAUCAUGUAAUGCAUGAACCACCAGAUCGAAGGGUCUGAACAACACUCAAAGUAACUCGAACACUCUUUAAAGGACUCGAGGUUCCAAAAAUAGUGCACUCGAAGGCUUGGGGCAUGAAAAGAGAAGAGGAUAUGGGUGGAAGAGUGAGGGGUUUUGUGCGAGUUUUGAAAGUCUGAGUUUGAGCACUUAGCAAGAAAUAACUUCUUCUCACAAAGUCCAAUAUCCCAUGGUUUCUUUUAAGGAUGGGCAUAAAAACCGACAAACCAAAGACCGAAUCAACCCUGAAACUGAAAAAACCGAAAGUUUGGUUUUUAUUGUUCCUACAGAAAAAUUUGGUUUUUAGCUAUGUUUUUUUUUUUUGAUAACCGAACUAAAUUCCUUCGGUUCGGUAUUAGCACAGUUAACCGAACAGGAAACCGAACAUUGAUGGGGGACACGUGAAUCUGCAGCGAUGCUCCCGCGCUAUGCAGCCUCCAGAAAGCUUGCGGUCACGAUAAAAAGAUUCCAUGGACCAAACCGCUUGCCUGCAUGCAGGCCCAAACUUACAAGCAAUUAUGGACUUAUGGGCUUUUUUUUCACGUGUGACGCUGAUGUAGUACACAGCGCUGCAGUUUGAUCGUUUAGUGCCGCCUCGGCCAGCCGCACACAAAGAGGUGUAUAGCUAGGCUAUCAGUGCAGGUAGAAACGCAGGGAGGCACGCAGCCUAUUCUUUGGCACAUUCAGCAAAUACGGUAUAAACCGAUUACCGAACCGAAAAGCUCGGUUGGUUAACCGAACUUUUGGUUAGCUCCUUUUAGAAGCUAUUUUCGGUUUUUAUCUUUGCUAGCUGAAUUUAUAAAAUAAUCUUAUCGAUCCUUUCUCACAGUUUUUGAGGGGUCAAGAACAUCUCUACCAACUAGGUGGGCUAGAAAUGAUCAAUACUUGAGUAAAAUGUUUGUCCAUCAAUCUUGUCUUGAAUCGUCAAAACGUAGUAUGGGGGCCUAGAUGCACUUUCAACCUUUAUUAUACGAGGUAUUAUUUUGUAGAUGUAUUAGUUUUGUCUUGUAUAUAUGCGACAAUACAUACACAAAUAUAUAAGUACACUCUUUGUACAAACUGUAGAUCUUCAAAGCGUUGAACAAAACCAAACUAAGAUUACCUCAGAUGGUUAGGUUUCACUAGUGCUCCCAUUUUUCUGGAUUUAUUUCAGGCUUUCUGACAAUGUUCGUUUGGUCGGAGGAGAUGUUCCCGUCGACUACGAGAGAUCUGUGGUGACUUCGUCAAUCCCACAAGGUAGGCUCGGUAUCUCAAAGGUGCUCACAGAGGUUGUGCAUGUGCAUUCAUAGGGGUUGUACUGUGUUAAAUACAAGUAUUGAACGAAAAAUUUGAAAAUUGACAUUACUACUCAUUUUGUUUCAAUCCAAACACCGAAAAUAAUGGAAUUGAUCACCAAUUAUAUUGCUUGAGGAACUGGAAUUGGUAAACAGAUCCUAGGUAUAAUUUUAAUUAACAACUGUAUACUCAUCCUCUAUAGUCAAAAACCGCCAGCGCUAUAUCUAGCAUUCAGCGAGAUAGUAGAAAACCUCGCUGAAGCGUCUACAGUAGUUGGGUCGGCCCAUCCGCACACAUUAAAGGAAAAAGAGAAUGAAAAAGAAGGAGAAUACGGCUUCUAGUUAGUGAUUAGUAGUAGGGGCACGACCUACUCGAGGCGAUUGGAGCCGGUUUCCUCCCCUUUUUUCUGUUUUCUUUUGUUUCUUUUCUUUUUCCUUCUCUAUUUUUCAUUCUUUUUUCUUCUACGUCAGCUUACAUACAUAGUAUUAAUACCAUAUUCUUUUUCUUCUCCGAUUUUUUCAUUCUUUUAGCAUUUUUUUGUUUUCUAUUUAUGUUUUUUUUUAUUUUUAUUUUCUUCUUUGGUUUUUUUAUCAUUCUUUUUGCAUUUGUUUCUUUGAUUUUAUUUUUUGGUUUACUUUGUUUCAUUUUUGUUUAUUUUUUGUUUUUCCUUGUUUCUUUUGGUUUUCAUUCUACAUUUUUUGUAUAUGUCAGCAACAUUUUUCUAAGAACGUUUUACAUUUUUCCAAUGCAAAUAUUUUUUAAAAUACAUGGUCAACCGGUUCUCUUUGCAUAUUUUUAACAUUUUUCAAAUACUUGAUUAACAUUUCUAAGACCAGAUAAACAUUUUAUGAAUAGAUGGUCAACAUUUUUUCUCUACAAACUUUUAAACUUUUUCAAAUACAAGAUUUACAUUUUCUAGUACAUGGUCAACAUUUUUUCUAUGCAAAUUUAACAUUUUUUUCGAAUGCUUGAUUAACAUUUUUUAACACAUGGACAACAUUUUUUCUAAAUACAUUUAACAUUUUUCAAAUGCUUGAUUAACAUUUUUCGAAUACUUGUUCAACAUUUUUCAAAUGCUUGAUUAAUAUUUUUAUAUGCCUAUAAUUAGCAUUUCGGGAAAUUCCCAAGCGAACAAUUUCAUUUCCAAAUGCUUGCUUCACAUUUUUUCAAACACAUUUUCAACAUUUUUUAAAAUGCUUGAUUCACUUUUUUUAAACACAUGAUCAAAUUGUUUCAUACCCAUUUUAUUUAUUUCUUGUAUACAUUUUUGAUAUACAUGAUAUACAUUAUCUCUAUACACAUUUAACAUUUUUCAAAUGUUUGAUCGACAUUUUCAAACGUUUUGUGUAGAGUCAUUUUUGUAAUUUAUUUAUUCAGAAUAUUGGGAAGUACAAACAGAAGUAAACAAAAAACAAAAACGUGAAAGAAAAAUAGAAAAUGAGUGAUGUUGUUUCUCAUGCGCCUGGGUCGGCCCAAUUCACGGCACCCUUCAGCGAGGUUUCCUCUAUCUCGGUGAGCCCAGAUAGGUUCCUAACGUCACCACCGUUGCUUGCUUGCCAUAGCAAGUCUAAGAAUCAUGUUUCAAAUGGGAUUUGUGUCAUAAUGCAUCGUCAAUGGAAGAAACACGGGAGGAUUAGGGCAUGAUUGAGCGAAGACAGGAGAGAAGGUACGAUAGAAAGGGGAGCAAGAAUGACCUCGCAACCCCAUGGUACUUAGUGGCACGUAAGAUGACUCGGAUGUGCAGACCACAGUUUCACAACAUUAUGAUGUUAAUGUUUGUGUUCCCAGAUUUUCGAAUUCACGGUUGCAUAUUGCUCUGAUGAUUCACGCAGACCUGUUGUUGUAGCAUCUUUGUUUCUUGCCUCGAACAUGCCAUCAUAUUAACUCUGCUCAUGCAUAUGUCCAGUUUUUCACCAAGUCCUAAUCUGUAACAGAACAUUGCAUUUUGCAUGGAUCGUAGCAAAUUAACCAUGAUGCUUAGAAACCUGAACCGUAAAAAUGAAUUGAAGUAUGUUAUUUAUACUUUAAGUGAAUAUCAAAUUGGUGCCCAUCUUGUUCCAGUAGCAUCAUGUUUUGUUGCUUCCAAGUAGGUAUCAUGCUGUUUGGGGCAGAUUGCUAUUUAAACUUGCCUUGUGUGUAUUUGUUGAACCGUUGCUCCGUUUUGAUCAUGUCCUAUAUGAAACUUGUUUAGAAUUGCAUGUAGUUUCAUAUUUUUUUGUUGCAUCCAUAUUUUGGAGUGUUUAUGAUUGUGUUUUGAUUGCUUUUGCAUCAAUGUCAUGUUAACUUGUUUAGCUCAUAUUUUCUAGACCGUAGCUUCGAAUUAAAUGAUCUACAUAUGUAACUUGACUAGAAAAACAUGUAGAUUACCAUGGUGCAUUUUAACUUGAUGUUUAACAAAUUUAACAUUGUGUUUAAUUCAGAUCAGUACCAAAUUCGAAAUUUGCAUGGGGAAUUACCGGAAUUGUUAUGUGUUGUUUCCGGCAUCAUUUAAACUUGCUUUGAUGUGGGUUCUUUAUGCAUCAUCUCUUUCCACAAGUAACAACAUUUAACCUUGUCAUGCAUCAUACUUGGAUGUGCAUCAUGUCAUGUUUUCUGCUUGUUUGUCUACCAUGUUGUUUGCUUUUUUCCGGUUGUGCUUCUUGCCAAUAGCUCCGGUUACAAUGGGAUUGUGAGGAUUCGUUCGACUAUGUUGGUUCGUCUACUUGAUGGACUCAGUCUUCUUCUGAGCGGGAUUUCAAGCAAGAUGACCAUUACCUUGGAUAUCACUACUAUCUUUGCUUUGCUAGUUGUCUUGAUGCUAUCGCUAUGUCGCGCUACCUACCACUUGUUUGUCAAGCCUCUCAAAUUGCCAUGAUAAGCCUCUAACCUCCACUAUCCUAGCAAGCCAUUGUAUGGCUAUGUUAUCGCUUUGCUCAAUCCCUCUUAUAGCGUUGCUAGUUGCAGGUUGUUCCAUGUUGGGACAUGGAUAUCAUGGGAUAUCACAAUAUCUAUUAUUUAAUUAAUGCAUAUAUAUAUAUAUAAUUGGUAAAGGGUGGAAGGCUUGGCCUUUUGCUUGGUGUUUCGUUCCACUCUUGUCAUCCUAGUUCCCGUCGUACCAAUGUUAUGUUCCUUCACGAGCGCUCCCGACACAUGUGGGUGUAUGGGAACCCCUGACCAAUUGCUUAGGAAAGAACUCUUCCAGCAAAGCCUAACUUGGUUUUAAAAUUUGCCAACAUAAUAAUACUGAUAAUUAAUUAAUUAGCAUAGGGAGUUAGCGCUACCCGAGGAUUCUUAAUUCAACAUAAUAAAGGUGGGCCAUUGCUGAUGGUGUUGGUCCAAAACAGAGUCAUUUGCGACUUCCCCCGGGGCAACUCGGGUCUCAGUUGUUGAACGUUGCGUUCAUCCGGUCGUGCCCUGAGAAUGAGAUACGUGGAUCCUAUCGGGAUUGUUAGCACAUCGGGAGGUCUUGUUGGUUUAGUUUUACCUUUGACGAGAGGCAGGUCCAUCGGAAUUCCUUAUCGUAAGCAUCGUGUUCUUCAUGGUGUGAGGAUGUUACAUCGAAUGCGCGUGGUAAUUUAUAAUGGACCACUUGAAGCACCCCUGCAGGGUUAAAUCUUUUUGAGAGCCGUGCCCGUGGUUAUGUGACGACUUGGAAAUUUAUAAUAUCCGGAUGUAAAGAACUUGACACUAAACUCAAAAUAAAAUACACCAAUCGUGUGUGUAACCGUGAUCGUCUCUUUUCGAGGGAGUUCGGGAAGAAAACACGGUGGGGUUAUGAUUGACUCGUAGGUAGUUUAGGAUCACCUCUUGAUCAUACUAGUUUGCGACCGUUAUGCGUAAUUUACUCUUCCUACUCUUGUAGUCCUAAGUUAGCCACCAUACAAUGCUUAGUGCUUGCUGCAACCUCACCACUUAUCCAUUCCAUACCCAUUAGCUUUGCUAUCUUAAUACCCAUAGUAAUAGGAUUGCUGAGUCCUCGUGGCUCACAGAUUACUACAACAAUAGGUGCAGGUACAGGUAAUGUGAUGAUAUGACGUGAGAGCGAUGCUUGCUUGUUUUGGAGUUCUUCUUCUUCGAUCAAGGGAUGGGUUCCUGGUCGGCAGCCUGGGCUAGUAGGGUGGAUGUUGUUUAUGUUUUUUUGUUUAAUUUCAUUCAUAGUCGGAUGUUGCUCUUCUGUAUGAUGUUUGUUGUAUUCAUGUGGCGAUUGUAUGUCUUUGUAUGUAUUCCCAACUAUUAUGUACAUGGUACGAUGUAAUGAUAUCCACCUUGCAAAGCAUCUUCAAUAUGCGGCUCCAUCCUUGAUGGGACCUUCGAGUUCCUCUCAAGGAUAGGAUCACAUAUUGGGCGUGACAUAGGUUUUGUGAGGAAACGAGGCAGUCGAUAGACAGACAGUAAUAGGUUUUGUGUGGCUGGGGCUAAGGGUGCCAUCAAUGAUAAUUGUAAGUAAGUCAUAAGAUAGGUUCCACUCAUUGUGCUAUAACAAACUAGAAUCCCUAACAUGCUUAAUACCCAAUGGACCUUAGGUUGGAGCCCACAUGAAGAGAUCCUUAAAUCAUGUGAGAGAAGGAGAAAUAGUUAAUUAUUCCUUAUAUGGCUUGACCUUAGCACUAUGACCCGGUCAUAAGAUUUUGUUGCGAAUGUAUGUUUGAAUUGUGGCCUAUACCUACCAGAUAUUUUGAUCAAGACCCAAAAGUUGGCCUUUGUUUGGAUGGUUGCCAACCUUUUAGCAUGCUAUUGUACUCUAGCUAACUCUAGAUCAUUUUUCUUGCCAAUGUUAGCCAAAUCAUGUGCAACCAAAAUCUCAACUAAAAAUUUGGCUAGCAAUACUUUGGUGGGGCAACCUUAGAGCAUCUACAGCCUCCGUCACCUAAUUUGGCCCCCUAUACGCUCGUGAACGCACCUGGGCGCGUUCGCUAAAGAUGAUCGAGCGAACCUCAUUUCUCGUAUUCCAUAGUUGCAUCCCUCAUAUUUCCUACCCCAAAUCCAUACAAAUCCAUGCAAACGGUGUUCCUACGUAGAUCAACAUAGAACAUAGCAAUCCCGCAUAGAUAAACAUAGUGUGAUACAAAAGUGUCGCCCAAGUUCAUCACUUAACACUACUAAAAAGCAACUAAAACCGGGAAGGGGGGAUUUCUCCACUUCCUCCAUGCCGGACUCUUCCCCUUGGGGUCUCAGCAGCUAGACUCGGCGUAGGCAUCAGCGACUCCGGGCACGUCGUUGUUGUUGUCGCUAUCCAAAGCAGAGGAGGAUGAGUAGAUGAUGCCCACCAUGUGUCGGGCUUCGCGGUUCUGCUUAUCCCAGAGCCAUGAGUCUCUCUCCGUCGUCGUCGCCCGCUGCAUCGCCAACCGCUUUGACUCCUACAAGGCCACGCGGAGUGCCUUCGCAUCUUUGCGGCGAUGACAGCGGGCAUCUGUCUCUGCGGACAUGUGCGAGCGACAGAUGGUGGUGCGGAGGGCCUCGCCAUCGUCGUUGGCCGGGAGAAGUGGCUCCGGCACAGAUCUGCUCGAUCCGCCCUUUGAGCGGCUAGUAGCCACCUACGUCGCCCGCUUCUUUGCAAGGCAAUACGCGCGGCCCACAGACUCAGGUUGUGGUUCAACCGGCGAUAGCACGCAGCAGCGCCCCAGAGGGGCAGGUGCGGGUGGUGCUGGGUGGCGCCUGGCAGGGGGCGACAUGGACCACGUCGAACGAGUGCGGGGCAUCGCAGAGCUGCAGCUGCCCACUUGACCCAUUGUCGACGCCCCGGAAGAGGAGUCGUCGCCCGGUCUAGCAGCGACCGGUGGAGGGCAAUGCGGAGCGCUGGUUUGUCCUCGUCGGGCGUUGACGAGCCAUCGGAACCCACGGCGGCCUUGAGCCACUCUGGGAGGUCGGAUUCACUGUCGGACAUGGCAGGCGAGGGAAGACAAAGUGUAUUUGGGGAGUAGCAGAGAGGUCCAGUGAGUACGAACUGAGUUUGAAUACGGUUUGCUCGACGGUCGUCUGCUAUUUGUGGGGGGUGGAGUGGGGUCGUUGCGGGCCAGGCCGAAGUGGCGGACGCGCCCGGGUGUCCCAUAUCAGAUCUAUAUUCGGACCGAAUAUUAGAGGUGCCGGUUAGCUCGGACGUUUGAGGCUCGUUUGAGGAGCCCGUCUGGGUAAUUUUUUAUGACUGGUCACCGAACGGGCCGUCCGUCCAAGCGUUUGAGACGGGUUUGGGUCGCCUGGCACUAGAUGCUCUUAGACAUAAACCAAACACACUUGGGUCUCAAGGCAAUUUGGCUUAAGACCCAUGUUUUUGGUACAUUGGAGACACCCUAAGACCGUUCCAACCUUGAUUUGACAGCCACAAAUUUUCAUAGCGGCAAUUAGCAGGAGGCAACCACGUGGAUCCUCUAGAGGAGGAAGCAUGGCUUUAUGUUUCUAGCGAGCUUAGGGCGUCUUCACGGCAACCCGUAAAUUUUCUCCUACAUCCGUCCACGGAUAGGGGAUCAAUCCAUGAACAUGAAUGCGAAAGGCCACCAUCUAACCGUAGCCGCAUACAUUUUAAUAACAGUUCAAACCAACCGGAUAAAAUUUGUUCAAACACGGCUGGAUUUCAUAUAAACAUGUCGGAUUUUAUAUAAACAUGAUGGAUUUCAUUACAUUUACAUCAACUAAGUGCUGCUAGUCCGGCUCUAGAGGUAUAAUUGAUACCUAAUCUAAAUGGUCGCCGGCGACCGUUCCCGUGUCCGGCCAUGAGCCCGGAGAACUGAAGCUUCACCUUCUCCAGUUCCGCCUCUGGAACCCCGGGAACUGAAGUUGUCCGCCUUCACGUCGCCGCCAAGCGACUAAUAGGUCGACGAUGUUGAGCCCCCCAAGCUUGGUAUCGAUGGGAGGGGAGGAGCGGUGGCCUUCCUGAGACAUGAGCGGUGGCGACCUACCGUGCACUACUCUUCCUCGCUGCCGGCGACACCCGCGGACGUGUCGGCUUCAUGGUUGUGGCGUCAGGGCGCGGCCUCGGCAAUGUCCUCCUCCUCCUCCUCGUCGAUCUCGCCGAACACAACCUCGUUGCACUCCUUGUAAGCAGCCGCCACCUCCGCCACCUACUGGCGGUACCGCCAGCGGGUGACGCGGAUAUCGCGGGUGGAGCGGUAGGAAUCGACCAGCGCCUCUUGCUCUGCUAGGUCAACGUCUGGCGCGACUGCCCAUCCGGCGGUGAGCUGCUCCUCCGCCUGCAGGCGCUCCUCGAGGAGGUGUGGUUGUAGGCGGUGGCGGCCUGCGCUUCCUGGAACUGCUCCUCCCGCACCAUGUCCAUUUAAUGGGUGCGGGCCUCGUCGAUAGUCAUGGUGCAAUGCACCGGCGAGGGUGGCGCGGAGGAGGAGGGUGGCACCGGCUGGUGAUCGGCGGCGCCCUUCAUUGGGACGUCGUCAUCCUCCGGCUCUUAUGGUCCGGCGUCAGCCCAUCCCGGAGAGCUUUGGCGUGGGGGGUCCAUGGUAGUGCGGAGAGGGAUCAAAGGCGGAUGACUGCGGAUAUGAUCGGGGCAGCAGUUUAUAUAGCAAUGGCAGACGGUAGAGGGACGGACGGGUGGCGCGGGCAAAGACACCUCGGCAACCACGUGCCAUCAAUGUGGGUGGCAGACGGACGAACGGGCAGCCGUCAUAUCGUUUGAGCGCAUAGUAGUCGCCUGCACCGGGAAGCUGCCCGGGCGCUCUCUCGGCCGGUGUGUCGUUUCAAUGCCGGCACCAAUGCGCGGCUGCGCCGCUCUGGCCGGGCAUGAAUGCGGACACUGAUUUCGAAUCGACUUCUUAUUCCAAAGAUUUUGUUUUUAAAUUUUUAAUCAAUUUUUAAAAUCGGAAAAAAUAUUGCUCAAAAUGAAGAAGUGCUGAUGUUUGUAUAUACAAAAAGGUUCAUGUAUUUCUAGAAAAUAAUUUGUAGUUUUUUUAAUAAAUAUCCACAUAUAUUUCAAAAAGGUGUUUAAAAAUAUCAAGAAGAAAAACGGACAUAAAUGGACAACAAAAAGGUGGAAACCAAAAAAAAAAAAGAGGAAAAACAUUUUAAAAAAGCAAAAGAAACUAAAGAGAAGAAUUGAAAGGAAUAAAAAUGACGUCUGCUACAAAUCAUCCGGCUAAAAGAUCAGCCGCCUGGCUAGCCCUUCGAUUAGAAUCAUAGUUUUAAAUAGCCGGCUAUAGCCCCGCUAUAGCUAUUUGAACAUGUUGCCGCUAAAUGAUUUCAUGUACAAUUUGCCACUAUAACCUUACUAUAGCCCAGCUAUAGCUGUUUUUAAGGGUUGUCGCUAUAUGCCAUAGCCCGCUAUUUAAAACAUUGAUUAGAAUGCAUAUGGUCGUUCGAUCACACAGCAGCACAGAGUAGGGAUGAAAAUGAAGCGGAAUGGCCGGAACUGGGUGCUACCAUAUUUUUUUCAUAUUUUUUUUUGCAGAAGCGGAAAUGAAUACGGAAACCCCGGAAAGUAAUACGGAAACAAAUACUAUCAGAAACAGACACGAAGCGAAUACAGAGCGGACACGAAAACAGAACGGUGUGUUGACCGGAACUUAAAACCCCCUUGAAUCAUAGAGAAAUACACACAAAAAACAAAGAAAUUUAAGAAAUUUUUAACAUGGCUACAUGAUAAUAUGGUUGUGUUGGUAACGUAGGGUAGUAUUGUAAUAGUACAUGACAAUUCUGUAUUGUGUCUAGUUGAGAAUGUGUGUGAAAGUAAAAGUUGGUCCUCAAAUGAUCCAGUCUGCUCAUUGUGUUAUUAUAUGUUGUUUGGUAAUUGGGCUACAAAGCAAUCAUGGGCCUAUAGUAGAAACGGAAAUUCAAUAUUCACGGAAACGGAGUCUGUUUCACCGGAAAACACUGUUCCGUUUUUGUUUUCAUUUCCGCAUCAAAAAUUCCACUUCCAUUUCCAUUUUGCAAAUUUCCGUUUCCGUUUUCAUAUUUCUUCUCCGUUUCUAUUUUUUCUUCGGAAAAGCGGAAACUUUUCACUACAUUUUCAUCCCUAGCACGGAGCGUCUUUUUUCUCUUGUGUUGUACCCAUAUAUACACAACAAUAUGCCACCACGACACCACGCUGAUGCGAACCGCGACUGCAUCACCUAUGCUCGUACUGCUGCACCGGAGCCGUCGACCUUGCACCGGCGACUGCAACAGCACCCCACCCCCUGGUGCAGCUCCAUUGCAACCCCCGGCGGCGGAGACAAAGCUUCAACACAGCAUCCCCGGCGCCUGCGAAGCUCCAAUGCAGCAGCAACAAAGCUCCAACGCAACACCGGCGGAGCUCCAUUACAGCCUACUGACUCCGGUGAUGCGCCGACGAAGCUCCAUUGCAGCCCCCUGCGGUGGAGACAGAGCUUCAACGCAGCAUCACCGGCCGGCGCCGGCGAAGCUCCAAUGCAGCAGCCACAAAGCUUCGAUGCAGCACCGACAGAGCUCCAUUGCAGCCUGUCGACUCCAGCGAUGCGACGACGAAGCUCCAUUGCAGCGCCAACGAUGGAUUCCUUGCAGCCGGUCGCAAUAGUGCAGACGCUGCAUCGCAGCUCUGCCGUCGGCACACCACCAUGGAUGUUGUGUUGAAGCUUUUGCGGCCGCUGAGAUCCAUGGGUCACAUGGACACACGUGUUGCAUUGCAGCUUCACCGUUGCAGCGCCGACCACGGCGCCCUCCGCGCGGCACGACAACGCCCUCUUGAACUCCGGCCAUGCCGAAGAGUACUGCAUCGCGGCGUCGAUGAUCCUUCAGCCAUCUCGUUUGCAGCGCCGCAACAGCCCUCCCUCCUCCCUGGUUUUCAGUGUCGCCAAUAGUCGACAGGUUGUUGUGUCGCCGGCAGCAGUCAACGACGAGAUCCACGUGGUGGAAGGGGCAGGGAACAACAGCUCCCGCAGGAAGGAAGAUUAGGCAGGGGGCGAUUUCGAGGGAGAAGAGGAAAGGCCGGGCUAGUGCAGGGGGCGAUGGGGUUGCAGCAAGCGGCGGUGGUGGUGCUCGUCAUGGGAUCCUCACCCCUGCUCGAUCGUAUGAAGAAGACAAAAGGGAGGGGAAGAAGCGUGUAGAAGAGAUUUACUCUGUAUAAAAAGAUAAGGCGAGGAGGAAAGCGGCGAGCGGAGCCCACAGGGGCACGUGGCAUGCGGUGGAGGCGGCUUAAUGAGAGAAAAUAUAUUUUUUCGAGAGUACGUCAAUGACAUACCAUAUUUUUAUAGAAGGAAAGAGAGUUUAAUUAUAAGAAGCCCGUCUCCCAUGCGAAACAAUCCAAGGCGGGUACCCACUACAACGCCUAACCCCAAAACACCCAAAGCUAACUCCUCACAAAAUGUUGAAGGCCUCCUAUGCCAAUCCCGUAGCUCGCCAAAGUGCAAUCUCCUCCAACACCAAGGUCGGAAGGAGGGACGCUGGUUUUUGUUGGUUCAAUCUCUUAAACACCCUGGUGUUUCUUUGUUUCCACAGGUUCCAUGCCACCGCGCUGACAAGGGUGUCAAAGCCUCUCAUGUUCGCCCUCAUGAAUUUCUUCCUCUCUCUAAGCCACCAAGCGGAAAAAGUGUCCACCUACGUCGUUCCGAUCACAUUGAGUCUGAAGAGGUCGAACACUCUAUGCCACACUUCCUGCGCAUAUGUACACUUGGCAAGAAUAUGGUCAAUGUUGUCCUCGCACUGCAAGCAGGUGUAGCGUGGCAAAGAUGCAUGCUUUGCAGCUGGGUCGUGAAGAGGCUGUGAUGUUGCAAUCCUCCAUCCAUCUAUCUUCAAUGAGAGCUUGUUGUAUCGUGCGGCUGUUGAUAAUUCUAGUCUGCACUGACGCUACCAGCAAGGGCGCAAUAUCCGAUACCCCAAAGCCAUGUAUCCAUUUGUCCCUCCAGAAGAGCACUCUGUCGCUGCUGCCCACUGUAAUGCUAACCAUUAGCAUCAAAGACCACACGCGCAUUGGUGUCCUCAAUCAUGGUCAGCCCUUGCCAUGGCCUUUGAGGGCCAGUUCUUUUCAGCCAUUCCCACCGUACACAGAGAGCCAGUGCUUGUCCUUUCAAGUUUCUGAUCCCAAGCCCUCCCAGCUUCUUCGGUCGACAGAUCUUGUCCCACGCCACAAGGCAUUGACCUCCAUUGGCCUUGUCUUCCCCGCCCAAAAGAACGAUCGCAUCCACUUGUUCAUGUCCUCAAAGACCCAGUCCAGAGCAUCCGAGAUCAUUAGGUGGUGGACCGGCCUUGCCGCAAUGACAGACUACACAAGGAUUAGCCUUCCUGGUCGAUGUAUAAGGCCCCGCUGCUAGGCCAGGACGCACCGCCGCACCCGGUCCAGCAUAGGCAUCCAAUUUGCCCGCGUUAAGCUUCGGAUAGCAAGUUGCAGGCCAAAGUAUCUGCAUGGAAACUCCGACAUGCCACAUUGCAGGAUUCCGGCUACCCGAGCUCUGUCCUCUCAUCGCCCCUGAUAAGAAUGGCCGAGGACUUGCGGUAAUUGACCAUAAGGCCCGAGGCCGCCCCAAAAGCCUCAAGCAUCGCAUGCACUGCCGUCAGGUCCGAGGGAGUUGCCUCAUGAAGAACGCAACGUCGUCCGCGUAGAUCGAUAGUCUCUAAGUACUAGAUAUCUCGUUGUAGGAACUGAUCACCCUCAUCUCGGUGGCCUUGUUGACCAGCGCCGUCAGCACAUCCAUGGCGAUAACGAAUAGCAUCGGCGAAAUCGGGUCGCCCUGUCUGAGACCACAAACUUGCAGAAUUUUCUGUCCAGGAACUCCAUUUACAACUACCUUGGUACUAGCAGAUUGAAGCAACGCCAUCAUCCAUGAUGCCUAUCUUUGGCCAAAACCCUUGGCUCUCAUAACCUUAAACAGAAAAGGCCACGAGAGGGAGUCGAAAGCUCUUGAAAUGUCCAGCUUGAGAAAUACUCCGGGCAGCUUCCUCGCAUGGAUCUUUCUAGCCACUUGACGCACAAGGAGAAAGUUGUCGUGAAGGUGCCUUCCUUUGAUAAACGUAGAUUGGUUCAUCGCUACAAUCUCAUGCAUCAGCCCUCGAAGGCGGUUGGCCAGAACCUUGGCGAAUAGCUUAGGAAUGCUGUGAAUUAAGUUGUUCGGUCGGAAGUCUCCAAACUCUUGUGCAUCCGGCCUCUUCGGGAUGAGGAUAAUGUGUGCCUUGUUAAGCUUCGAAAAGCCUCUUGCGUCUCCAACAAAUAGCUUUAACAACACGGCCAUAAUAGCAUGCUUAAUGAUGCUCCAGGUUUUUUAAUAGAAUGCGCCAAUGAAGCCGUCCGGGCCAAGAGCACAAUCCGGGGGCAUCUCCUUAAUAACCUGCCACACUUCCUCUUCGGUGAUGAUCUCCUCUAGAAUGUGUAGGUCUCGUGCUUCGAUUCCAAGGAAUUGCAGAUCUAGGGUGUGCUCUCUCUCCUGCGUCGUGCGAAGCAGUUGCUCAAAGUGCUCUGUGAAAGCUUGCAGUUUCCUCUCUUGGUCCGUAAUGAUCUCGUCUCCCCUCUUGAUGUGCGAGAUAAAGUUCUUGGAUCUCCUUCCCUUCGCAACCGCCUGGAAAAGCUUAGUGUUUGCGUCCCUUUCCUUGAUCCACUUGAGCCUCGAUCUCUGAUGGUCAAUAGUGCAUUCCAGGGCAGCCAUGCCCAAGAGCGACUGCUUGAGAGUGUGUCGAAGCCAUAGCUCUUCUCUCUGUAAUCUCAUGUAGUCUUGCGCCACGUCAAGUCUAUGGAUGACCCAGGUGGCCACGCCCAUCAGUAACUUCACAUUCCCAAACUUCCUUUGGCCCCACGCUUGCAGAUGAGCAGUGGUGUUGCGUAGCAGGGCAUCGAGCUUCUUGUAGGGGUCAACAAUGACGGAGUUGCAGACCCAAGCCUCCCUCACGGCGUCUUCGAAGACCUCUAGCUUAGUCCAGAACAGCUCGAACCUAAAUCUCUUCUUGGGGCAAAAACCAGCGCUCGUAGAAAGGUGCAGAGGAGCGUGGUCUGAGACCCUUGUGGAAAACACCUGCUCGUUCGACCAAGUCUACCGAAAUAAGGACUCUGUCAAUCUUAGUCAGGGUCGGCGCCUCCCGCUCGUUCGACCAAGUGAAUCUACGACCGUGCAUGUACAUCUCCUUCAGCUCGUUCGACCAAGGAGAGAAAAUAUCAUCAUGUUGUUUUGAAGAGUAAAAUCGACUAAAGAAUCUACCCAAUAGACUGAAUCUACCAUCUACCAAACAGGCUGAAUUAGUGUAGCGGUUGAGGGUGAAUCUAGGAGUGAAGAAUGGGUCACACACGGCGUGCAGCUCCCAUGCCUACCAGUGCGUGACAGGUGGGCCCGCGUGGGAUCAGCUCGCCCGAUUCCACGAGAAUCUCUCCCCUGGUGCCUGGUUUGUUACUUCACUCCCUCUCCUUGCUGCACUAGUUUCGCUCCAUCCCCUCUAGAACUCCUACUAUUCUUGUUGGCUGAUCAUCCAAGAUCGAUGGGGUCGUCGUUUAAGUUGGAGUGGGGCCCGGCGAUCUGCAUGGUGCUCAUCGAGCUGUUCACCACGGGGCAGAUGCUGCUCACCAAGGUGGUGGUCGACGCCGGGCUCUUCGUCUUCGCCCUCCUCACCUACCGCUUCUUCCUCGGCGCCGCCCUCGUCGUCCCUCUCGCCCUCAUCUUUGAGCCGUACGUCAUCGCUACUCUACUCACCAUCCGUGCAUCUCAUCUUCAAGAUUUUUAUUAUUACUCUCUUCGAUCCAUAUUAGUUGUCGCUGAUUUAGUAUAAAAUUAACGGAGGAAGUACUUAUUUCUGCAUGCAUGCAUUCCUGGUCGAUCUAGAGCUAUCUUCAUGACGUGACGUGAUCGAAUUCCUUCUUUGCACUUAUAUUGAUAUGUGGUUCGUGUGUGCCUAUGGGUGGAUGGCGUGUUGUGUUUGCCUGUUGCGUUCGCCGUGUCGCUAUCAUGCCCUCCGUUUUGGAAUUACUUGUCACAAAAAUGGAUGUAUCUACAACUAAAAUAUAUAUAGAUACAUUUAUUUCUUGGACGAGUAAUUCCGAACGGGAGAGUAGUCUCUAGGCAAGUUAAGCUGGACAGGCCGUUUGUCUUCUUUCCUGGUGGCUGAAGAAGCUGCUGAGUUUGGCGGCGGGAAUUGUAAGCAUGUCAAAUCUGAAAUGGAUGCCACGCACAUAUGUUCCCAAGGGUCUAUUUUACGAGUCUUCCAUGACAACAACGCAACCUCGUGCGCCCUCCAGUUGCUCAACGUCUCCUAUAAGUAGUAUGGACGGUCAUCGCAUCUUUAGAGAAUCAAGGUGAAGUAAUGGCUACGCCCCCGGCCGAAAACAUAGCAAAACAUUUAAAAAAAAUCUAAAACUUUGUGGCAAUGAUUAUGAAUAAAUGUUAUAGAUGUUUUCAAGGUUUGGUGGUCAAAUGACAUCCAAGGAGCUCGAAUGUAACACCCCGAGACCGAUGUGUCAGGUGUCCUCUAGUUAUUCGCUGUUGUUGCCUUGUCAUUGUUUGCGUGUCAUGCAUCUCAUAUCAUGUCAUUAUGUGCAUUUCAUUUGCAUACGCGUUCGUCUCAUGCAUCCGAGCAUUUUCCCCGUUGUCCGUUUUGUAAUUCGGCGCUCCUAUGUCACCCGGUGUCCCUUUCUACCUCUUUUCGUGUGCGGGUGUUAAACGUUUUCGGAUUGGACCGAGACUUGUCAUGUGGCCUUGGUUUACUGCCGGUAAACCGCCUGUCAAGUUUUGUGUCAUUUGGACUUUGUUUAAUACUCCAACGGUUAACCGAGGGAUCGAAAAGGCCUCGUGCGUGUUGCAGCCCAACACCCUUUCAAUUUGGCCCAAAACCCACCUAAACCUCCUCCAUCAUCUCGGUCGUUCGAUCACGAUCGCGUGGCCGAAAAACGCACCUCAUUUGAAGUCUCCUAGCUCCCUCUACCUAUAAAUAUGUGGUCUUCCCCGAAAUUCGCGGACGAAACCCUAGCCUCCUUCUUCCUCCGCGCGCCGGACAACGUCCGCCGGCGCCGGACGUGUCCGGCUUGUCCCGCCGCCGCCACAUGUCCUCCUCCCAUUGGUUCNNNNNNNNNNNNNNNNNNNNNNNNNNNNNNNNNNNNNNNNNNNNNNNNNNNNNNNNNNNNNNNNNNNNNNNNNNNNNNNNNNNNNNNNNNNNNNNNNNNNNNNNNNNNNNNNNNNNNNNNNNNNNNNNNNNNNNNNNNNNNNNNNNNNNNNNNNNNNNNNNNNNNNNNNNNNNNNNNNNNNNNNNNNNNNNNNNNNNNNNNNNNNNNNNNNNNNNNNNNNNNNNNNNNNNNNNNNNNNNNNNNNNNNNNNNNNNNNNNNNNNNNNNNNNNNNNNNNNNNNNNNNNNNNNNNNNNNNNNNNNNNNNNNNNNNNNNNNNNNNNNNNNNNNNNNNNNNNNNNNNNNNNNNNNNNNNNNNNNNNNNNNNNNNNNNNNNNNNNNNNNNNNNNNNNNNNNNNNNNNNNNNNNNNNNNNNNNNNNNNNNNNNNNNNNNNNNNNNNNNNNNNNNNNNNNNNNNNNNNNNNNNNNNNNNNNNNNNNNNNNNNNNNNNNNNNNNNNNNNNNNNNNNNNNNNNNNNNNNNNNNNNNNNNNNNNNNNNNNNNNNNNNNNNNNNNNNNCAACUCCGGCGAACUGCUACAGUAACGGCGAGAUCCAGAUCUGGAUCUGGAGAUUCCACUCGGUUGACUUUUUCCUCCGAACCCUAAUCUUUUGGCAUUUUUCAUCGCAUCAUAACUCUGCAUCCGUGGCUCCGAUUUGCGCGUGUAGCAUAUCACAUGUUCGCCUCGACGAGUACAUCAUUUCAUCUCAUUGCAUCAUUUUCAUUUCAGCUCAUCUUGAUGCCCGAAAUGUCGUUGGAAGAGGGCUAUUUGAGGAAUUUGCUAGAUCUGUUUCAGCAAAUAGGCUUUUGUCAUUUUUGCCAUGAUUAAUGUGUGCAUGCUAUGAUCCUGAGCUCUACAUAUGUUUUGUUAUAUGCCAUGCCAUACUUACAGUGGUGUUUGCCAUGUAUUUUUGUGAUAUUUGUGGUGACUAUCACAAGCUUGCAAAGUAGCGUAAUCGGUAAUGCUGAUUUCAGGGACUUAGAAUUUCACAAAGUCCUUGUCCUGAUUUUGUUGUUAUGCCAUAUGUUCAUAUUGUUUCCUAGUGAUCCGUGCCUAUUUUAAGGAUGAUCAAUAAGGAUGUUUUGUUAACAUCGUGGUGCUCUAUCCAUCCAUGUCUUUAUUUGCAUUUAUGGAGCACUCUGGCUUGAGUCAAUCGAGCUCUACUUUUGCUAUAAAAUGUUCCUGGUAGAUUGUUAACUUGUUUAGCGAUUUUGCCGAGGAUGUUGCUAUUGAUCCGUGCAUGCUAUGAUGUUGUUCUUGCCAUGUCUAGCUUCUAUGUCAUGUCUUCUUGAUGGUUGUAUGCUUAGUUUGUCAUGCCAUGAUUUGUAGUGAGUGCAUCGAGCUCGUAAACAUGCCUACUCGUUAACUGUUUGUCAUGCUCCAGUUUUUCACCAAGUCUGAAUCUGUUUAUGUUUUUGCUAUGUUCACAUGCUUGCAAUUGUAUUUUUUGAUCCCUUUUGGCUCAAGGUCACUAAGGGACUUUUGUUAAAUGCUUUGAGUAGCUUCAUGACAUGCCUUUCUUUGCCAUGAUAUGUUUCUAUAGCAUGUCUUGUUCAUGCUCUAAAGUAUGCUUUCUGAUGAUAAAUUCCAGACUUGUGUUAAUUUCACUAAGUCUGAAACCUGUUAUCAUUUGCACUUUUGCCAUGCUUGUUUGAGCCUGUUAAUGGAUGAUUUAGCCGUAGCUCAGUGUUCAUCUUUUGUCAAGCAUCUUGAGUGGAUCCAUGCCAUAUAUUUUGUUGCCAUGUUUGAGUGUUGUAGCAUAUUUAUCUUGUUGCAUUUAGAUGGUUACUUGCUAAUUAUCACAGACCGGUGCCAUAUUUGUUUUGCUUGCCAUUUCCAAACCGUGCAUCCGAUUCCGGUGAUCUUUAUAUCGAUUUUAACCGAAAUCACCUCACCUUUCCAGUGGCACUCUUGGAUUUCCAAGUUGAGGCCAGCUUAAAUCAUUUCUUUGCAAAUCAUGCAUAUGCAUCACAUACCGCAUCCCACAUAUCAUACCAUGUUCAUGUGUUGGUUUGUUUACUAUGUUGUGUGCUUCUUUCCGGUGUUGCUUCUUCGGGUUGGUUCCGAUUAUGACGCGUUUGUGAGGAUCCGUUCGACUUCGUCUGCUUGUCUUCUUCAUGGACUCGUUUCUUCUUCCUUGCGGGAUCUCGGGCAAGAUGACCAUACCCUCGAAAUCACUUCUAUCUUUGCUUGCUAGUUGCUCACUCUUUUGCUAUGCCUAUGCUGCGAUACCUACAUCUUGCUUAUCAUGCCUCCCAUAUUGUUGAACCAAGCCUCUAACCCACCUUAUCCUAGCAAACCAUUGUUUGGCUAUGUUACCGCUUUGCUCAGCCCCUCUUAUAGCAUUGUUAGUUGCAGGUGAAGAUUGGAGCUUGUUCCAUGUUGGAACAUGGAUAUUUUGUUGGGAUAUCACAAUAUCUCUUAUUUAAUUAAUGCAUCUAUAUACUUGGUGAAGGGUGGAAGGCUCGGCCUUAUGUCUGGUGUUUUGUUCCACUCUUGUCGCCCUAGUUUCCGUCAUAUCGGUGUUAUGUUCCCGGAUUUUGCGUUCCUUACGCGGUUGGGUUAUAAUGGGAACCCCUUGACAGUUUGUCUUGAAUAAAACUCUUCCAGCAAGGCCCAACCUUGGUUUUACCAUUCGCCACCUAGCAUUUUUCCCUUGGGAGUCGCGCAUCCCGAGGGUCAUCUUUAUUUUAACCCCCCCGGGCCAGUGCUUGUCUAAGUGUUGAUCCGAACUAGAGUCCUUUGCAGCGCCACCUCGGGGAAACUUGAGGACUGGUUUUAUUUGUACGAAGCGAUCAUCCGGUGUUGCCCUGAGAACGAGAUAUGUGCAGCUCCUAUCAGGAUGUCGGCGCAUCGGGCGGUCUUGUUGGUCUUGUUUUACCUGUCAAAAUGUCUUGUAACCGGUAUUCCGAGCCUGAUCGGGUCUUCCCGCUAGAAGGAAUAUCCUUCAUUGACCGUGAGAGCUUGUGAUGGGCUAAGUUGGGACACCCCUGCAGGGAUUUGAACUUUCGAAAGCCGUGCCCGCGGUUAUGGGCAGAUGGGAAUUUGUUAAUGUCCGGUUGUAGAAAACCUGAAGUUGACCUUAAUUAAAAUACAUCAACCGCGUGUGUAACCGUGAUGGUCUUUUCUCGGCGGAGUCCGAGAAGUGAACACGGUGUUGGAGUUAUGCUUGACGUAGGUUGUUCUAGGAUCACUUCUUGAUCAUAGUUGUUCGACCGUGCUUUUGCCUUCUCUUCUCGCUCUCAUUUGCGUCGUUAGCCACCAUAUAUGCUAGUCGCUUGCUGCAACUCCACAUCAUACAUUUACCUUACCCAUAAGCUUAAAUAGUCUUGAUCGUGAGGGUGUGGGAUUGCUGAGUUGCCGUGACUCACAGAUACUUCCAAAACCAGUUUGCAGGUGCUGAUGUUACCGAGCAGGUGACGCAACCAAGCUCAGGAGGAGCUCGAUGAAGAUCUUAUCCUUUGUGUUGUUUCGUUCUAGUUGAUCAGUAAUGGAGCCCAGUUGGGGACGAUCGGGGAUCUGUGUAGCAUUUGGGGUAGUCUUCUUUUAUUUUGGGUUCCGUAGUCGGACCUUGAUUGUAUCUGGUUAAUGUAAUGCUUUAUUAAUGUAUUGUGUGAAGUGGCGAUUGUAAGCCAACUAUGUAUCUCUUUCCCUUAUGUAUUACAUGAGUUGUGUGAAGAUUACCUCACUUGCGACAUUGCUUUCAAUGCGGUUAUGCCUCUAAGUCGUGCUUCGACACGUGGGAGAUAUAGCCGCAUCGAGGGCGUUACAUCGAAGCUCCUUGGAUGUCAUUUGACAACCAAACUUUUCAAACACCUAUAGCAUGUAUUCAUUAUCAUUGCCACAAAGUUAGAUAAUAUGGUCUACAAAUAAAACUUAUGGCCGCAACAAUGAAAAUUACGCUCCUAAAUUAAAACUGAUGAGAUGAGAUACACUAGCAGUCUAGCACCACCUGAUAGUCAGAAACUACAUUAUGCAUGAUCUUUGCAUUUAUAUUGAUCUGUUAUGUUCUUCCCUGUUGGACCAAUAUAUGGUUUGUGUUUGUCUAUGGCGUGUCUGUCCAUUGCGUUCGCCGUGUCGCCAGCAUGUGUACUGUACUGUGUAGUCUCCAAACCAAGUUUAGCUAGACAGGCUGUUUGUCUUCUUUCCUGAUGGACAAAGAAGCUACUGGGUUUGGAGGCGUGGAAAUCGUAAGCAUAUCGAAUCUGAUGCCACACAUAUUUUCCCAGAAUCUCACUAGUCUUUCAUGACAACAACCUUGUAUGUUUCUCAUUUGGUUACUUACCAGUACGGUUUUAGCUCAUGGUGUCUUUGGAAGUCCGCCUCCGCCGAACGAGUAUUUCACCACGAAAGGCUUUCAAGUUAAUUCCACUAGAAUCCUACAGGCUACAUGAUAUAGGUUUAGCUCAUUACUCGAAUGAAACCAAAUCUACAACAAAAGACUAGGGAUUACUUUAUCAAUUAAUUGGAAGAACGGAAGAUAUACUCUUCAUAGUUCAUACUCGUUUACCAGUCUGAAAUGUAAUGAAAUCAAAACUGAGAGAGCAAAAUAGACAAUAUGGUCUAGAAGUGACAUUCACGGUCGCAAAAAUGAAUACUACGCUCUGAAAUUACAUCUGAUGAUAUAAAUUAGCGAUGCCUGAUGAUUAUAUAACUUGCACAUUUUUUUAGACAAUUGUUUGAGCAUUGAUAUCGAUACAAAGUCCAAUCAAAUUGUCUGCAAAGGUGUAAAGUGCACAAUAUCCCAAGAAGUGGAGGCAUGUAGCUAACAGAGCAGGCCCUAAAUCAGAAAGAUUAGAAAGUAUAGCUAAUUAGAUGCAAACACAAGUUCUCUGUGUAGCUAACAGAGCAUGCACCGCCGACCCAUAUUCAAAUCUUUUUUUUUUAGAGAUUGAGGAAUAACUCUCAUAUAUAUCCCUCGAACAUAAAGAGAAAAAUUAGAGGGUGUAGACAUCAUGCAAACAUAAGUUCUCUGUACAUGCACGCCACUAGCUCACACAUAAAGAAUGACAAGCACUUCACUUGGUGAGUCAGAGCCAGCAGGGGCGGAGCCAGAAAAUUUGGCCGAUGGGUUCACUCAGUACCUCAUUGUAAGGAUUUAAUAUGGGUUAAUUAAGUGUAGCGUUCAAUUUCAUACUAACUUACAAUAGGGGCACGUCACUUAAAAGACAUGUGGCGAGUAGAAAUAUGAUAUUGAUUAUCACAUAUAUGGUGGUUACAUAUAGAAGUGGAGAGUGCAAGACAUACUGAUUGUGUGAAAUUAUAAAAUCCCUUGUUGACAUAUUAUAAAUAGAGCAGCACCAAAAUAACUUCAUAGCUUCAAGUGCAGCUUCUCAUCUUCCUAAAAUAUAUUGGAGAAAAUGACAAGUUACUUUGACAAGUUCAAAAUAAAUACCAUCAAGUCAAAGAGGCAUAUAAACAAAAGUGAUUUUAAGCCUGAUUCGAUUCUGGGUAUUUUGGAAGAUCAGUUUACUUAUCAUGGGCAACCUAAAUUGAUUGAUCUUGAUUAAUCAAAGCAUCACUUUUUUUACCGUUAUAUUAUGAAAGCUAUUAACAUUACCUUUACCCACAUGGGUAUUUUGUCCCUUUUUUGUUCCAAUUGCUCCAACCUUUAGUUGCAAGUGCAUCACUCCCAGCUUAUCUCUCAUUGUAAUCACUAAAUCCGAUCAGGCAGAUCAUAUGGCAGAUCAUCUAAACUAAUUUCUCUAUGCAUAGAAAGCCUUGGGAGGCUAUUUGCAACAGUGAGAUUUGAUGUACUUUGCUUACAUUGAGUGGCCUUAAAGCGCCUGCAGCAUUAUCUGGAUCUGAUGAUUGAUUUAUUACUAGAAAACAUCGCUCUAACCUACACCAAUUAAAGUUCGGGGAAAAGCAACUAAAAAUUUUAGGGCAAAGAGUAAUACCAUCAUCCAGUGUACUAGGCUCCAACACAUGUACAAGGGUGAUGAUGUGACCUGGUCGCCUGCAAUUUGGACUUUAAUUGCCAGCCGCUGCCGACAACCGAUCUGCUGUUGCCGGCUUGCCGCCGCAAUGGAGAGACGAGGUCGAAAGAGUUGCCGGGUUGGGAAACAAAUUGGGGAAACGAGGCGUGCGUCGUGCGGCAUGCGUACCUACUAUAGAAUCGAGUGGUCGAGGACUGCGUGGAUCUCAUCGCAUGGCAUUACAUUUACGUCUGGGCUUCUUUUGUUUUUUGUGAAAUAUCUGUAUCAUUCUGUGGGCUUUUGGUUGGACUACUGAUGUUAUAAAGAAUUAAUUAUUAUGGGCUGAGAGGCUUCUGGCGGGUGCGUACUAGCUUGAUGGGUUCAGCCGUGAUUUUCUAUUGGGUUCAUGCAAGUGCCAACAGUAUACACAUGUACGUGGCAUAAAAAAACUGUUGGGUUCAUCUGAACCCAACACCUACAAGCUGGCUCCGCCGCUGAGAGCCAGCACUCCCCUCCCUCCCCGUAGCUUUGCCACUCCCUCCCUGUAGCUUUGCUCAAAGGCUAUCUCCAAUUCUCCAUCACGCACGUCCAGCGACAGACAUACACAAUGGGGGGCUCGACGAACGUGAAGGAAUGGUGGCCUGCCAUAUUCAGUAGAAUGGUAAUAUUCACCACACUGUAUUGAUCAUAGGGUCUUGCCCUUUAUAUACACAGGAGAGUACAACAGAGAGAGGGGGUCGUGGCCUAGCUCUACGUAGCCACGAUCACCGCGUGGGCAGAGAGCGUGCGGACGUGCCCGAGUCUGUCUCGCGGGAGGACAAGGUCUUCCAACAGCCCCCCGCAGCCACAGCAGGGUCUUCGACGAUGUUGAGGCUGGACCGGAACUCUGUGAAGACGGCAGUCGGCAGCCCCUUGGUGAAUAUGUCGGCGAACUGGGACGUCGAGGGCACGUGUAGAACACGCACAUCGCCAAAGGACACGCGCUCGCGGACGAAGUGGAGGUCGAUCUCCACGUGCUUGGUGCGCUGGUGCUGUACUGGGUUGUAGGAGAGGUACAUGGCGUUGACGUUGUCGCAGUAGACGAUCGUCGCGCUCGCUGGCGGCCGGUGCAGUUCACGGAGAAGCUGACGAAGCCAGCAAGUGUCAGCCACGGCGUGCGCCACCGCGCGGUACUCCGCCUCCGCGCUGGAGUGCGACACCGUGUGCUGCCUCUUAGAUGACCAAGAGACGAGAUUGUCACCAAGGAAGACGCAGAAGCCGGAUGUAGAACGCCGCGUAUCCGGGCACUCGGCCCAGUCGGCGUCGGAGUAAGCCACGAGGUUGGUGCUGCUGCUGCCUCGCCGGAGGCGGAGCCUGAGGUGAGCGGAGCCGCGCACGUACCGCAACACGCGCUUGAGAAGAGUGAAGUGAGCCUCGCGUGGAUCAUGCAUGAACAAGCAGAGUUGCUGCACGGCAUAGGCGAGGUCUGGCCGUGUCAAUGUCAGGUACUGCAGGGCGCCGGCCAAACUCCGGUACAGUGCGGGGUCGGAGACAGGAGCGCCGGCGAGUGACGAGAGUUUGCUUUUGGUGUCGGCUGGUGUUGAGACGGGCUUGCAGUUGAGCAUGGCGGCGCGGUCGAGGAUCUCGAGGGCGUACUGCUGCUGCGAGAGGAACAGCCCGGAGCUGGUGCGGUGCGUGGUGAUGCCGAGGAAGUGAUGCAAGUCGCCGAGAUCGGUCAUGGCGAACUCAGCGUGGAGGGCGGCUAUGGUGGAGCGCAGCAGAUGGGUGGAGCUGGCGGUGAGGAGGAUAUCGUCGACGUACAGCAAGAGAUACGCGGUGCCGGCGGCGCUGUGGAGGAUGAAAAGGAAUGAGUCGCAUUUGGACGCAUGGAAGCCGAGCGACAGGAUGAAGGCGUGGAAGCGCUGGAACCAUGCCCGCGGCACCUGGCGCAGCCCAUAGAGAGAUUUUCGGAGCUGGCAGAUGUGCGUGGGCCGAGCGGCGUCGACGAACCCUGAGGGUUGCUGGCUGAAGACGACGGAGUCGAGCUCACCAUGGAGGAAAGCGUUCUUCACGUUCAGUUGGUGAAUGGGCCAGUCCGACGACACGGCGAGGCUGAGGACGACCCGUAUCGUCGCUGGCUUCACCACCGGACUGAAGGUCUCGCCGAAGUCGAUGCCGGGUCGCUGAGUGAAGCCACGAAGCACCCAUCUCGCUUUGUAGCGGGCGAGUGUGCCGUCAGGAUGUAGCUUAUGGCGAAAGACCCAUUUCCCCGUCACCGUAUUAGCACCUGCAGGACGAGCAACAAGAGACCACGUAUUGUUUUGCAACAGAGCAUGAAACUCAUCGCACAUGGCGGCGUACCAGUUCGGAUCCUUGAGGGCUUGUUUGUAGGAAGAAGGGAUGGGCGAGAUGGCGGUACUAGUGGCCUCGGCAAUGAGAGAGUGGGGGGAGAAGAGGGCUUUGGGCUGCAGAAAACCGGACUUGCCCCGGGUCUGCAUGGCGUGGGUGUUGCGCCGUGGUGUGAUUGGAACGGCGCGAGGAGGCAGGGGACGGCCAAGUGGCGAGAAAUGUCGUUCUCAGAGAGGAAGGAGCGUAAACGAAUGUUGAGGAAUUCACCCCCGUUGUCACACUGUAUACACUGAAUGCAGAGAUGGAACUGCGUCAGCACGUAGGCAUAAAAGCGUAUGAGUAUGUCGGCAGCAUCAGAUUUGUGACGGAGGGGGAAGCUCCAGGAGUAAUGGCUAAAAUCAUCAACUAUGAUUAGAUAAUAUGCAUAGUCGGAACAGCUAGGAACCGGUGAUGUCCACAAAUCACUAUGGAUAAGCUGAAACGGAGAAGUAGUAAAGGUACUAGAGGUAGGAAAGGGAAGCCGUGGCUGCCGCCCUAGCUGGCAAGCCUCACAAGUGGCUGGGGAAGAAAUACUAGGAGUGCAUGAAAGAAAAUCUUUAGCUAAACUAGAUAAGGAGGCGCCGCUAGUAUGCCCUAAGCGCCGAUGCCACAGAUCGCCCACGUCAACGGUGAGAGCGGUAGGAGACUCGCCGAAGAACGGGUAGAGGCCGGUGGAGCUAUUUGACCUCAUGAGAGGGGUCCUGGUCGCCAGAUCCUUCACAAGAAAGCCAUGAGGGUCAAACUCGACAGAAACGGAAUUGUCAGUGGUAAAUUGUCGUACAGAGAGAAGAUUCUUGAUAACAGAGGGGGAGAAAAGAACAUGGUUGAGAUUGAACGGGCGGGGUGGGAGGGAAGCGGUGCCGAUGGCAAGAGCAGGCAUGUACGAACCAUCGCCGACCAAUAUGGAUGGGUGCUCUGAAGAAAAACAAGACGAGCUCAAGUUACCUGCGUUGUUGGUGAUGUGGCUCGAGGCACCCGUGUCGAGGUACCACUCGCCGCCGGUGCUAGCAGGCUGCAGGGACAUGUUGUUCAUGGCGGUGUGGAGCAGCCCAGUUUGAUCCCAUGAGGGUGGCUGGGGUGGUGGCGCCGCGGUGUAGAGAGGGGCUGGGUCGUACGCCGGGGACGCGUCGUAGACCAUGGGGUAGGCCUGGUGCGGGACGCCGGGCCGUGGACCGAGCACGCCCGCGGCGUUGGGCGGCACCCAGGGAGUGCGGCCAGCGGGAGGAAACGGCGUCCCCCACGGAGCGAAAUACCCCAUCCAGGGCUGCUGCGACGGAGAGGGAGUGGUUGGAGGCCCGCCACGGCCGCCGUAGCCACGCCCGCGGCCACGGCCGCGCCCCCCACGUUCGGAGGAGGCGGAGCGGUCGCCAUGGCGCUGCUGUUGCGGCAGCUGCUGCGGCACGCCGCGGUCUCCUGAUCCGGCAGUCCCCGAGCCGCCAGCGCCCGAGGAGGAGCCGUCGGUGGUGGCGAUGAGGGCGGUGGUCCCCGCAGUACGGGUGCGUGCAUCCAUGUUGAUUUCCUCCAGCAUCAGCUUGGAGCGGGCCUGGACAAAGUUGGGGAAGGGGACCUGCAUCGGGAGGAGCGACGCCAUCACCUGGAACCGCGGGGAGAGGUCGCGGAUUAGCUGCAGGGUCAGGGUUUUGUCGGAGACGUGCUCGUCGAGGUCGUCAAGCUCGUCGGCAAGCGCCUUGAGGCGCCGACGGUACUCCCCGAUCCGGAGGUCGCCCUGGACCAUGGGCCGGAACGCGGCGCCGACGUGAACGGCGCGGCCCGUGAGGUUGUCGCGGAAGAAAGCAUCGAGCAGGACCCAGGCAUGAUAGGCAGUGGUAUCUUUGGCAGAAAUCACAUCACAGAGCUCAUCGGUGAUCGUACCGUAGAUCAUGAGAAGGAUCUGCAGAUCGUCGUGGCGCCACUGCGCCGUCUGCUGGAGGGGAUCGCAGGGACGAGGACGUGGCUCUCCACGCCGGACUUGCGGAGGAUGAAGGACAUGAUGCGGCGCCACUUCGAGUAGUUGCCGGAGAUGGGAUCCAGCUUGAAGUCGAUGUGUGCCCCGAUGUUGACGGCGUGGAUCGAUGGCGGCGGCGCAGUAGAGGAGGAGGUGCCGUCGGAGAGCGCCGCCCCGAGUGGCGACACGGUGAGGUUCAGCGGAGCGGUGGCUGGGGGAGCGGUGCUAAUGGGCAGCGAACUGGAGGUGGUGGGCAGCGGAGAGGAGGUGGGAGGGGGGAAAGUAGCGGGCAGCGGUGCGCUGCCAUGGGGCAGUUCCCCGGAGUCAGAGCCGGCGUCAGAGGCAUGGGAGCCGGCCAUGGACAUGAAGGAAAGAACUUGCUCUAGUGCCAAGUAGAAUGGUAAUAUUCACCACACUGUAUUGGUCAUAGGGUCUUGCCCUUUAUAUACACAGGAGAGUACAACAGAGAAAGGGGGUCGUGGCCUAGCUCUACGUGGCCACAAUCACCGCGUGGGCAGAGAGCGUGCGGACGUGCCCGAGUCUGUCUCGCGGGAGGAUAGGGUCUUCCAACAUAUUCAUGGUGUUGGUCCAAAUUUUCACGACAGGGUUGGUGUUGCUCACGAAAGUCGUGAUGGACAGUGGGUCACUUGCUUGGACCUUGCUCACAUACCGCUUCUUCCUUGGCGCCAUCUUGACCACUCCCUUGGCGAUGUUCUUUGAGAAGUUAGCUCUAAUUAACUACUGUUAUUUUAGCAUAUUUUUCUCCUUCUCAUGGUUGUCAUAUGACAGGGAACAUUUGGCAAGUAAAUAUCAAAAUUCGUCGUGAUAUAGAAACAUUUUGCAAAUGAUUAUCUGUUUACUUACCCUCAUCACCUGAUGUAGAGGGAAGUUGAAGGAGCUUAAAUUGAAGGCAUUCAUAUGGAUUUUCACCGGUUGUGGGGUUAGUCGUUUUGUUCACAUCAUCUUAGUUCAGCAAUGGUUCUGAUUAAUAUCUGCCCACAAAGUAGUAGUGAUUGUUGCUUUCUCCUUCCAGAUUCACAAUUCCUGGUCUCUACUACAUUGGCCUCGGAGACACAUCACCAGGAUACGCGAUAAACUUCUAUAACAUCAUCCCGAUUGCCACAUUCAUCCUCGCGGUCCUUUUCAGGUAAACAAGAUGGAAAUAUAAUGCAGCACCUACCAGAAAUAUUGGGACCAUAUAGGAAGGAACUGCGACAACCGUAUAAUCUUUUUUUCAAGAAGGAGUCACUGGACAUGAGGAGCCUGGUGGGGAACAUCAAGGUCAUUGGAACCCUAGUCUGUGUUGGAGGAACGCUGGUGAUCAGCCCGUACAAGGGCAAGGUGCUGCACCUUUGGCCCACCAAUAUCAUCGGCUACCACCCCAAACAAGCCGGAGCUGUGUUUGGUCACCACCAUGUGCGUGGAACCGUCUUGCUCAUCACGAGCUGCCUCAGCCUCGCCGUUUGGUAUACAGUACAUGUAUAUAACAAACAUAUAAGCAACAACUCACUAUUGCAAAAUCUCAAAUAAAUAGUAUUACCUAUAUAUCAUUAUUUUUGUACAGGUAUUUCAUGCAAAAUUCAACUACUCCGAGGGAGUAUUACCUUUUUUUAAUUCUUUAGCAAAGUGACAAAUACAGCUUAAUUAUAUAUGAGUUUGUAACAGUGGCGGCGCCAGGUUCUACAGGGUGGGUAUUCAUUUUGGAGGAGGGUAUUCAUUUUGCCCAAAUCAUCACUGUUUUGCAAAAAAAAAAUCGCUUGUUUUAUAUAAAAUUUCAAUGGUUUGUCAAAAUCUUGGGUAUUCAACCGAAUACCCAAGAAGACCACUGGCGCUGCCCCUAGUUUGUAAUGAGCAGGCUCAGAUGCUAAAAGUGUUCCCAUACAAGUACUGGUCCACGGUCGCUACAUGCUUCGUGGGGAGCAUCCAAAUGGCUGUCGUGGGGGUUGCCAUGAACAGAGAGAAGGCAACAUGGGCGCUCAAAUGGAACAUGAGCUUGCUCACCAUUGUGUACUCGGUAAAACUAUUCGGCUAUUCCUUUUGUUGUGCAUCAGUUCACUUUUUGGCUCUCGGUUGAAGGUCCUCAUUUACAUCUUGCUGCAGGCAAUACUCAACACUGCUGCCAAGUUUGUGAUGAUUUCGUGGGUCAUCACGCAGCGUGGGCCAACCUAUCCGGCCAUGUUUUGCGCCGUGUCGGUGUUCUUCACUACUAUUCUUGACUCAUUGCUUCUCGGCCAUGAUCUGUCCGUUGGGAGGUAUGCUUACCACUUCUCUCCAUCCUAUGUUAAAAAGUGCUGAUUUUGGCUAACGUUCUUAAGACCGUAGGUAUAUACCCAAAUAUGCAUUGCCAAUUACUAACAUUAUUUUCUUAAAAAUUGUUGCUGAGUUUUCCUUGUAAUUAAUAAUCGAUCUGUUUACAUGCCUACAGUGUUCUAGGCAUGUUCAUGAUUCUAGCUGGGCUCUAUCUUUUCCUUUGGGGAAAGAGAAAAGAACCGGUACCUCCGAGUGAAGAAAAUCCAACGGAACAAAUGUUGUUUCAGAAUGGAGACAAGAAUGAUAAAUCAGUAGCUAAUGUAUGAUUAUUUCAUUUCGCAAUAUUACAAAAGGGACUAUUCAAAAGUUUGUGUAUACGAAAAACAGAGAAAAAAGGUCAAUAUUGUUUGUGAUGUCCUCAACCAUUCAUCCAAUUUGAUCAUCACGUAAAAAGGUCAAUAUCCCAAAAUUGUUGAUUAUGGUUGAGUUUCUUCAUUUUAAUUAGCAAAUUUUAAACCAGAAAGUGAAAAUAGCAAAAUGACACAAUUAGUUCCAAGUUUUGUAGUUUCUUUGUUUGGUUUUAUAUGAAGUCCUCCAGCAUUGACCCUGCAUUAUUGUGUCUCUCCACUGCCUCAUGCUUUUCCUCCUGUCUGAAAGGAUCGAGAUGGAUCUGCGAGGAGGGCAGGAUGUGAAUGGGUCUCUACAUUAUUUAUGAUGCUUGCAACGUAAGGGACCAAAGUAAAACGCAAAUGAACGAGCUACAGUUAAGGACAAUCGAAGGCACAGGGAAACAAAUAUUUAUUUCGAUGUUCACUCCCUUGGAGCAGAGAUAGUCACCGUUGGAGAGAUAGGAAUCCACAAAGGAAACCAACACCACAUUGCAUAAGAGCAACUACAACACGCGGACCCAAAUGGACGCGCGCUUUGUCCGCUUUUUGUCCGUUCAGGCCAACCGCCCGCUUGACGUCCACCAUCUUUUUGAUUUGGAUCAGCCAUGUGCCCAAUGCGCACGACCCAUUUCAUGUCCAUGCAUAAAUUUUUAAAAGGCCCAUGGCCAUAGAGCGCGCGACCCAUUUCAUGUCCACGCAUAAAUUUUUAAAAGGCCCGCGGCCAUAGAUCUUGUCAGCGGCCAUGCCAUCGGCCAAAGUUCAUUCAGCGCUAUGCCAGCCUCCAAAAAGGAUUACGGCAUGGUUGAGCUAAGGCAUGAGAGGAGGUACAAAAAGGGGAGCAAGAAUGACCUCGGAGCCCCAUGGUACUUAGUGGCACGUAAGAUGACUCGGAUGUGCAGACCACAGUUUCACAACAUUAUCUAAACAAACUAACAUAAGUAAACAAGCUAUUUUAACAAUGAUUCAGCACCCGCUCCAAUAACACCACCUCCUAUAACUAUCAUGAGUGCAAAAAAUGUCGCAGGCGAUAUACAUAUACAGCCAUAGCAAAUAACUGCCAGUCAACACGAAGAUAUAUACAUCUGCUGCUAACUCAGAACCGGGGAUCAACUAACUACGAAGGUGCAUGAUCUGGGUGAGGAUUCAAAAAAUGGAUGAUGCCACCAUCAUAUGCCUGCAUUCUGAUUGUUGCCAGCCAGGAUGAGAGAAAUCUCCAAACCUCUGCUGAAAGCCUGGUUGAACAGUAGCCGUGUCUGGAAGGUGGAGAUGAAGGGAAACCAGGAGCAGAUGGCUAUGGGCACAAAAAUGAUCAUUCCCAUGCCAGCAUCAUACAGACGAGCCAGCGAGCGCACUAUUUUCCACAAACCAAAUCUCUUCACAAUUGGUUUCCAUGCCACAGCAAUCUGCAGAAGCAAAAAAAAGAUCGAUAAAGAUUUGGUUAGUAAGAAACUCUAGUAUCCUGAAAUUUGGAUUUGUUUUCUUUGAGAUAAAAAUCUAUAUGGUGUUUGAAACAGUUGUACGGUAGUAAAGAUAUCUCCGCCUGUCGAGCUAACAAUGGAGCACCAUUCUGUUACUAUGCAAAGGUAAACCACAUGGAAGACUUGACAUAUACCAUCUGUGUCAUCAUUCUAUAUAUAAAUCCUUUCAUUGCCUACGCAACAUUAGCAGAUCCACUACCAAGUUUUAAGUUGCGUAAUAACCAACUAGCCUUUACUAUCCAGUGUCAUUUUGAACAAUGGCACGGUUUCCGAAAUGCAGGAUUUCAUGGUACCAAAGUUGCCACAUGAAACUCACCGAAAGAAUUCCCCAUCCAGUAGGCACAUAUGCUAGGAUGGAAGCAAGUACAUCUAAAACAGUGAGGGGUGUCAUCGCAAUUGCCACAACCAAACCUGCCAAAACCACUAACAGUGCAAUGCUUUUGACCAGACGCAGGAGCAACUGGAAAUGAACCAUGGCCUUGGGGUUUAAACUAAAUACCUGCAGAUUAAUACAGAAAGCAACACAGGUGAACACUGCGAUCAGUAAAAACCAGGUAUGGCUGUUAAGCAUUACAUCGCAAAUACACGUACCAUUAGGAGGACAAAAAGCCCUCCAAGCACUGCCCAUGAAACCCAAUAUACCUGCAGUGCCAAGACAUGAUAUUACUAUUCUAGUAUUCUUUUCUUUUGAUAAAGUAGGCCAACAAAUGCUUGCAAUUGAUUCUUCCCCAACUGUUCUCAAAGGAACAACUGAUACAUCGGUAAGCUUAAACCCCAUUCAAGGAAAUAGUAGAAUCAGACAUGGUGUUGUGAUGUUUUCAAGCAGUUAAGACGACCAAAACUAGCAAAAGAAUGGCAAUGCUUAACAUUCAAUCCAAGAUCAGUUUUAUGCGGUGCCGGAAUUGCACCUGUGUAUGCGUUAUGGGUGGGUUCAGGUAACAGAAUAACAGAUUAGUGUUUUGAGUUAAUUUUGCUGUAAUGGGGUCACUACUAAAUUAAGUAAAUGGCAACCAUUUUUAACAUGGUCUUCCUUCUAAACAUAUAAGAAAUGAAAGAAAAUAUUUUUGUAAUCUUCUAAAGUACAAGUGGAAGAUCAGACAAUCAACGAUAUAUACAAAUAUAGACUUUGCCAUAGCAAGUGCUUAAAGAAACUGCAGUAUCUUUGGUACAUAAAAUUACAUGUUCAUUUGUCAGUGAAUUUCAUGUCAGCAAGCAGAACAGUGCUGAAACACAAACAUACCGAUAAUGAUGUACUUUCUUUGCCUGCAUGCAUGUGGUAAACAACUCCAUACUGGAAAAUAAAAAAUCUUAAACUAAGUAUAGUUUCCAGUAUCCUCCCGCGGAAGGUGUGAAUAUGUGCCUGAAAAGGAAAUGUUUGGAAAUGAAUUACUUUCAACACCUUGGACCUCAACAAAAUUUAGUGUAUGAAACUUCCAAGCGUAAUACCAGGGGUGGAUCCACAUGGGGUCAAGGGUGUACAUCUGUACACCCAAAUGUUUUGGCAGGAAAUUUUUAUAUAUGAUUUAUACUAGAUACAUGUAUAAAAAGUGGUGUGGUUUGUGCAAUAAACAUCAUGCCGAUUCAUAUAAACUGGUCUCAAACCUUCGGUCCAACUAUCACAAACAUCUUCAUUCCCUUAAGACCAAUUACCAUCGAUGCGUUUUCACCAUCUCGUAUGUUGCAUUAACACCCUAUUACUAUUACCAACCCUACAUGAACUACGGUUUUAACGACGGGUUUCUGGCCAUGACAUAUUUUAUGAUUGUGUAGAAAACAAUCUUCAUUUUUUUACUAUUUUCUGUAGGGUACUGUCAUUAUUAUUGGGGAAAAAGUUCUUAGUAGCUACAUGAACCUUUUAGUUAUUACAUUGGACAAAAUAUUUGAACACCCAAUUCUCGAAUCCUGGAUCCGCCACUGCAUAAUACGUAUUGGUAUCACAUGAAGAACAUAAACCCAACUGCAGACUUAAGGAGACAAAUUAUGCAAUGGCACAAAGGAAUUAACACCUUUCAGUAUUUUCUUUAAUUGUGUCCUUUUCAAAGAAAAUAAUUGCGGAAAGAGCACAAGUAAUGACAUAAUCAGUGUAGAGGUGGUGCAAAAACAGAGCAGGAAAAGUACGCAACAUUUGGCAUAGUAGUAAGCAAGACGAAAGAUAAAGUGAACUUAUUGAAACUAUUGAUACAUCUAUAUAAGAAUUCAAAAGCAUAAAUCACAAUGCUGCUUCAAAGAAAUAUGCCAAUAUGUUCUCAUGACAUCAUCAGGCUGCAGCAGGAUAUUUGUAGAAGUUCAGUUUUGUGACAAUGUUGAACUUCAAAAGCAAUUCAGGUGUUGACACAAAUAACACAGCAAAUAGAUGUCGUAACAGAUCAUUCAAGACUGGAGAGGCUAGUCAAAGCAACAUUGAAUUACCAGUUCUUCAUCCCACCAAGCUUCCCAGCUUUCUUCUCCUUUAACCCCAAUACCACCUCGGUAAAAAAGCCAGUUUGUCCAGUCUCUGAAAUCCUCGACGACCCUGAGAGAGCAAGAGAGAAGGGGUGGCACAGGGUUUUAUCUUUGUCCUGACAGUUUAUAGUGAUUGGCUGGAAUAAACAUACAUAGAAUGCUAAGUGGCUUACUUUUGCCAUUCAAAUCCAGAAGGGUUGAAUACAUAUGGAGCAAAAAGCCAAGAAAGAGCCAUAAACCAGCUACUUAUGGAAAGUAAGAUAUAGCCAAUUGCUCCACUGUUGUUAAAACCAUAAGCUAAAAAGAUAACCAACAGAAGUGCAACCUCCAGCCUACAAAAUGGAACGAGAAUUGUUGGCUUGGAUAUUACUGAAAUUGCACAUACAAUCAUGAAAGUAACAUCACAUGACAACAUACCCUUUCACAAAAUGGCUUCGGGAAUAAAGACGGUAAUUCUCAGCAAACUUAAUAUGCCGUACCACAAAACCCCUACCAGUUGCUCUAUACUGGUAAUAAAUAAGAAAAACAAGAUCAGUAUAGUGCAAAAUUCUCAAAAACAGAAAAAUGUAGUGUGUGAGAUUAAGAAGACGAGCAUGACUUCCAGAAAGCCCUACCUUUGCACCUCCAUGCAGUAUUGUGCGACCAAAAUAGUGAGUCCUUGUUCCAAGAGAGAACGUGAAAAAUAUGGAGCAUAGUUGGAACUGCAUAGUAAUGAAGCUAACAAAAGCCUGCAUCCACACAUUCACAUGUAAGGAUUCAUAACCGGCUGUUCUCUAGGGAAAUAUUUACAAGGUAGUGGCUAUUCAUGAACCAAGCUAAUAAAUAGGGCCAAGGUUCCACAUAACACACCAGAAAGAUAAGCUCAUCUAAAAAACGAAUAAAUUAGAACUAUACUGAAAUCAGAAGGAACAUAACUUAAUUUAAACUCAAUAUUCUUUUCAGAGUAGAGACAGUAAUAAACCAACCAUAAAUAGAGAUAUGAUAAUAAACCCAGAAGUCUGCCAAGGAAGAGAAGUACCGUCAGGACACCUUCUUCCAGGAUGAAACCUAGAAUCAUAGGAAUUGCAGUAAACACACCAAUCUGGAAAAGAAACUGGGUGUUCAGAGCCACGCUCAAUGCUUUAUUUCCCUGUAUAUCCGCCCUAUUUUGAAUUGAUUCUCCAACACCAGAUAAAGCCUACAAUACAACAAAAAAUGCGUCAGAAAAAAUCCAAAACGUGACAAAGAAAAGACUGAAAAAUCUACAGAUGCAACGGUAUUUUUGACACAUAAACUGUUACAUACCAUUAUAAUAACAAAUGAAGAAGUUUCUUUUGAAAACAGGUAGUAUUUAAAUGCCAUGCAAAGCUUGAGAAAGUUUGCAUUCACUAUAACUUUGUGUGAACUUUAUGUCCCAAAAGUAACAUGUACUGGCAGCCGCAUGAGCCAACAAAAAGUGCUUAUGCUGUCACCCAACUAUGUUGCAUGAAAAGCAGUGGAGAGAAAGAAUAGCCGAGACAUAAUUCAAGCAAUAUGUGUGGCCUAUAUGACUGGAACAGCAGUAACUAGAGGCACAGAUAAGCAUGACAAAAGGCGCAGGAAACAAGUAGGUUUGACAUUUACAUGCAAGUAGAUUGACAUGAUAAAAAACGACCUGUCUGAGAUUCUCACAGAGAUCUUACUGCAAAGAAGGAGAACAAUGGAUAUUGAAUCUUACCAGAUAAGUUUUACCAUAGAGAAAUAUGUACACUGUCAGUACAGUUAGCUGCAAAAAUAAAUAAACAAUUAAAUAUCGGCAACUCUUUAAGGACAAAAGAAGAAAAGGGAUACAACAGCGGAAUUCUCAAGGUCAACAGGCAGCAUCUUCAAUUUGUAAAAUUAGUUUUAUCAAUGUGACUUGCAAUAAUACAAAUCCCACAGAUACAGGUAUAGCUCUUAUAAUGCACAAAACAUGAGCUUGCACAAGAAAAUGUAUUAGUUGGGAAUUUAAACUAAGAAUAAUAUUUGAACAUAAAAGAUUCGUUCGAAUGAUAAUACAUAGUAGAUUCACAGAAAGUAACAAAAAUAUUAUGGGAUCAUAGUGAGCAUUUGGAAACAGAGAACAGAAAACGGUUAACAGAACAAUAAUAAUUGCCAUAGCAAUGCCUGAAGAUCCAUACAACCUUUUCCACCCCUUUUCAAUGAAAAGAAACGCAAAGUCUUUGCGUUCUCUCAGAAAAAAAAAGAUCCAUGCAAUAUACUAUGGUCAUAAAUAGAUGACCUUUUGGGCCUUCAGUCACCAACAUGCAACUUUGAACAUCAGUUUUCAUACGAAUAUUCUAGUGAGACUUGAUAGAACUGCAAUAUUAUGACAACACUUAUCUUCAAAAAUCUAAAUAGUAUGAGUUUCACAUGACCAAACUACUUUUUCAUAUUUAUGAGUCGAGGUUAGAAAUGUUUGACUGCACGCAUUCUAGGACAUUGUAUAUUUACGAACAGGAUAGUAGAAAACACAGCUGCCAGAAAAAACAUAACAUGUUGUAUCAGAUAUAGAAUUACCAUAGUACAGAAGUAAAACCCAACAGUAGUCACAUAGAAGGAUAACAUCCUGAAAAAAUCAAAAAGCUGCCCAAGUCUGUAUAUAUCUCUGCUAAGAACUUGUUCGCCGUUUCCUCCCGCAACUUUUCCUUCAAAUAGUGCGAUCUGAUUAAGCCCAACAUCUCUUCCUUUACCAACCUACAGAAUAUGUCAAACAUCCAUACAAUGUUCACAAGGCAGUAGUAGAGCCCAAGUUAUAUGCUACAGUCGGAUAAGAGUGGAGAUCAAUGUGUGGGAAGAGAGAACCACACUGAGGGCAUCAGUAUUUUUUUAAGCAUUUCAUUCAUUUAACUAUAAAAUUGCUGGUAAAUAUAAUUAAGUGGUAGAGGCAAACUAUAUUACUCUCUGAGUAACAUAAAGUAAGCAAGGUUUAAAGCUGGCAGCUCAAAAGUGGAAUCACUCAAGGCCAAACAUAUUUAGAAUAUUAAGAUGAAGAAAAAAUGGCAUCCAUCAGAAAUUCAAAAUACUGGAACACUUGUGUUGCUUCCUUCCCCUUAACACACCGGAAAGUUAGCUAGUAAUGACCAAAUGGAAGUAAUCUACCUCACACGACUGAAUGACUUCGAUCAAGAGUUCAUAUAUGCUCUAAUUUAGCAGAAACUGCAAUGUAGUCACAUAGUCUCCAUCUAAAGUUGUGUACAAGACAUGCAGUAGAUUCAGUUCUGUUAUUAAGUCUAUCAAAAAAAAUUGCCGGGUGUUAUUAAGUCUAUCCUUGCUGAGUUCUGUAGUACGGUUUUGUCCAAUAAAGGAGUAUAGAUGCGAGGAGUGAACUAAUAAAAGAUUACUUGUUUAGAAAGAUUCAUAGUCAACAAACAAAGAAAGCUUAAGGUUUCCGUUGACUGAAACACCUGAUCAACAGGUACAGUAAAACAAUUACAAAUUGAAGAAAAACAAGACCUGGAUAUACUCAUGGUGAGUUAUGUUCCCUUGACGUAGAGUAGAGUUAAACCCUGCAAUUCAAAGAUGGUGCACCAGUAAGAAGAUACUCCCUCCGGUCCUUUUUACUCCGCACAUUAGCUUUGACUGAAGUCAAAGUUUGCUAAGUUUGACCAAAUUUAUAUUAGAAAAUAUUAACAUCUAUAACAUCUAAUAAAUAUAAUAUGAAAAUAUAUUCUGAGAUGGAUCUAUUAAUAAAUGUGUUGUUAUGUGAAUGUUAAUAAUUUUUUGUAUAAACUUGAUCAAAGUUGGAUGAGGUUGACUUCAGACAAACCUAAUGUGCAGAGUAAAAAGGACCGGAGGGAGUACAACUCCACGAGUGUAAUAUAUUAUCAGCUAACUAGCGUAAUGAUAAAUGCUAUAGCAGAAACUUUCACGCAUAUAUGGAAUUAGUAAGAGGGAUACCAUAAACAAUUGACAUACUGAUUGUAUGUGGAAGAGAUACCGUCCAACUAAAACAUGAGAAAAAACACAAGACUAAAAUAUGGUGUUCACAGAUGUGUGCGAGGCUUCUACUUGUUUCUUGAGAGUACGGUUGCAUAUAAUGUUGGUACAUAUGGGAGGCCCAUGGUGGCCCAGGCCCAGUACUGUUUAUGUAACCCUAAUGUUGUGGUAUAUAUAUAUGUGUGUGUGGUGGUCCUGUGUGAACCAACCUGCAGAUCGACCAAAACCAAGACUGAAUCCAUUCCCUCUCGUGUUACAACAUGGUAUCAGAGCUAGGUUGUAGCCGCUCGCCUCGCCGUCUCCUGAGGUGGCUGUGGGCAAAGCCCACGGCUGCUAGGGAAGGAGGCGGCGGGGACGUGAAGGAAGGAGGCGGAUCCGGGCGGAGCUGCGCGGUCGGCGGAUCUGGGCGCGGUGUCCAGGAGCUGCUCUCGGCGUGGAUUCGCGGCGGGGGCUGGCUGGGAGCUGUGCGCGGGUGGCGGCGGCGAGCUGCACGCGCGAGCAAGGCGCGGGCAUGAUGAGCGCGUGUGCGGACUGGAUCUGGCGAGCUCGGCGCGGUGGGCGCGUGCAGAAGGCCGGGAGAUGCGGAUCUGGGGCUUGGAGUUCGAGCUCGUGCUCGUGCUCUAGGCGGCGCUGCGAGGAGGCGCUGGGAUGCACAGCACGCGCUGGCCAUGGCUGUGGGUCGCUGGGCAGGCGGCGUGGCGCUGGCGAGCGGCUGCGCGCGCGGCAAGUGAGGCAUGGAGAGGCUGCGUGCGGGCAGAAGAGGGAAAGAAAAGGAAGAAGAGGAGCUGAGGUGCGCCUGCGCGCGCGCCAAGUGCUGCUGUUGUCCUGGUGCUGCCUGCUGCUGGAAGUAAAAAAAAAGAGAGGAGUUGAGCUGCUGGUGCAGAAGAGGAGGUGAGGUUGUGCGCGGCGAGAAGGAAACAGAGGAGGAGCGGCCAAGGAGGAAGAGGAGAAGGAGGCUGACUCUGUUGUUGCUGCUGUUGUGGCUGCAUCUGUAGCUGCUGUGGUUGCGUCCAAGUGUAGCGGCGCGUGAGGAAGAGGAGGUGCUGUUGGGCGCUGUGGUCCUGGCGGCUGCUGUGUUCUGCUGCUGCUGCUGACAAAAGAGUAAGAAGGAAGGUUGUGUGCUGCUGCUGCAGGAGACGGAGAGGAGGCAUAGGAGAAAGAGAAGGGCAGCUGCUUGUGGCUCCUGUGUGCUAGUUGCUGCUGCUGUUUGGAAGAGGAGUUGGUCGCAGCUGCUGGUGCUGCUGAGGGGGAGAAGGAUGAGAUGGGGGAGAAGGAUGAGAUGUUGCGCUGGCUGUGGUGUUGUUGCUCCUCCGUGCUUGGUGCAAGGAGCAGAGGGGGAGAGAUGCCUUGGUUCGCUGCAAGGACCAAGGAGAGAGAUGCUGCUACUGAUGGCAGCCAGAUGGAUUUUCUUUUAGGGGGAGAGAGGGAGAUGUGGUGAUGAUGGAGAUGAUGAGGCUGCGGCUUGAGUGUGGUUGGUGAUGAGGAAGUGUCCGGGGGAGAGGCCGUCGUGCCUGAGGUGAGAAUGGUUGAGGCCUGACCAUGGGAGAGGCCGUCGUGCCUGAGGAGAAGAUGGCUGGGGCAGGAGUUGCCCGGAGAGGCCGUCGUGCCUGUGGAGAAGAUGGAAGAGGUCAGUGGCCGAAGAGGCCGUCGUGCCUGUGGAGAAGACGGGCUGAGGACAUUGAGGCGAGUGUGGAUGGUUCUACGGAACCUGUGUAGUGUGGCAGCCGGGUUGUUGAGGAGGUGCAUGGUGCUCAGUUGGCCAUCACAAGUUGGAGGUGGUGAGAAGAUGAUGGAGAGGGCAAUGGCUCUCAUGUAUCGUAGUUGGUUAAGUUUUCUGUUCAUUAGAGUGGUCGUAGUUUGAGUUUAUGUAGUUGUUGCAAGAUGGUCAUGGGUGUUUACCCAUGAUCAUCUUGAGGGGGAGUGUUGGUACAUAUGGGAGGCCCAUGGUGGCCCAGGCCCAGUACUGUUUAUGUAACCCUAAUGUUGUGGUAUAUAUAUAUGUGUGUGUGGUGGUCCUGUGUGAACCAACCUGCAGAUCGACCAAAACCAAGACUGAAUCCAUUCCCUCUCGUGUUACAACAUAUAAUAUCUAGAUUACAAAAUGGCAUUGCAACAUAUCAUUAUUAACUUGUUAAUUUCAUCAAAAUUCCUUUCCAUGAAUAACAGCAAAAAUACUGUUAGUGUUUUGUUAAACAAACAUGAAAAUUGUGAGAUAUUUCGUAUGAUUUCCACUUUUACAGAUCAGCAAACAGUAUAUAAUAUCAAAAUGAGUAAAACAUAAAAAAAUGUGUAUAGUUGACUCCGAAGUGAAGAAUUUCUUUCCCUUAUGAAGAGCAACACAGAAUGGUAACCAGUUGGGAUCUAAAGACAAAUCACAACAAGAUUUAAAAUAUUAUUAGCUAGCACGAGUAACAGAAAGGAAGGGCAAGAUAAUGCAAAGACUCACUUCAAACAUAACCUAAUAU